This 60623-nucleotide long non-coding RNA is filed under the name Hordeum vulgare. RNAcentral's name for it is "long non-coding RNA (HVUL_LNC021453)". The stretch from base 15898 to 16022 matches the Rfam family "MIR1120/MIR1122 microRNA precursor family". Lineage: Eukaryota; Viridiplantae; Streptophyta; Magnoliopsida; Poales; Poaceae. The record is from RNAcentral.
ACUGUUCGUCGCCACCGACGCCGAAGGCGCCGGAGCAGGAGGAUUUGGAUACUCAUACUCCCCCAGGCAGCGACGGCGACGCGGCGGCCGGCGAGGGCGAGGGCGAGGGAAAGGAGUCCCUGGAAAACCCGCUGGUGUCCAUGGAGUGCUUCAUCUUCCUGUGACAUGACAGUAACACUAGACCUGCCUGCCUGCUCUCGCCCGUCCCUCCCACAGUAAGUAAUCAAUCAGCGUACUCCAUUCCGUUGUCACAGUUAGGAGUAACCAGAUUUAGAAGCCGCGCUGUUUUGGUGAAUGUAUUUCUGCUGGCAACUUCUUCCCGGGCUGGAAUUUUGUAUCCCGGGAAAGAAACCAGUCCCAGCUCAUUGGUGUGCUCUGUAUAACUACUUCCUGCCUCUGCCUCUGCCUCUGGUGUCCUGUGUAAUCUGUAGAAUGUAGCUAAUCCAAGCAAGCCAGGCCACUGUAUCUCUCUGUAAUGAACUGCAUUGCAUUAAUACCUCUUUUCCGUUCCUAGUACUACAUUGAUUGCACUCGGAUCUAUCUUGUGCAAGCAAAGCUGGAGUUGCCACUUAUGUCCGAUCCGAUCCAUGGACCAUCCACGGCCGUUUCUUCCUCGUUGCAUGGUCCAUCACGACCAGUUCGCCGGGGCAUUCAAUGGCUCCUCAUCCGCAUCCGCCCAGCUCAAUAACUUGGCUCAACGGCUUUGCACUCCCAAGGCACGUCCCGGUGCACCGUGCACGUACUCCUUCCCAGAUGCACACUCAAUGUCUGCGGUGACGAUCGGCGACGUCUAGCCACAUGAGCCACGGAGUGGCGAAUCGCCGGAGCUGUGGGUGCUUGCUUGCUCUGGGCCGGGGCCGCCACCUUUUUUCGCGCCAUGCCGCCUUGGCUGCCAUGCGCGCGCGCGCCCAGCAAAGCCAAACUGUGGUGUCCAUCAGCAACGUUUACGUCGGUGUGCGCGCCCACCAUCGCACCCGCCGCCUGUCGGCCGCUCGCCGUUGUCGCCACCCCGGUGGCGCCCGAUCGAUUAUUUUACCGCGCUGGGUGCCUACUGCCACAGGACAGGAGCACGCACAGCGGCCACGGUGCGAUGGUGCACUGUGCUUGCUUGGCCCUUUUGCGCUUGCUUUUUGCGGUGUGGUACGGGGGGGAUCGCGGCGGAAUCUGGUGGCCGGGAACGGUGGGGGCGCGCGGCGCCCGUGCGCGGCGGCCCCGAUGCGUGGCCGGCCGGCGUGCUGCGCUUUCUGCCGCCACCGAGGCAGGGAAAGCUUUUGAGCCUUUGCAGCAGGCGGCAGCUGAGCUGAGGCAGAGGAAGCUCGCAGUUUAUCGACCCCCCGCGUAGAACCAAUGGUAAAAAGGGCUGCACGCAGUGGCAUGCUCAGGCUCGUCGGGCUCGGCCUUUUUCACCCGCGUCGCUGCGCUCUGCUCGCUGCUGCACAGUAACGGUAACUGUCAUACUUCUAUACAAAUGACAUAUAAAUACCAAAAAUGCUAGACUUAUUCGUAUCACUUGUACAUAAAGUUACGGGCCUUCUUUAUCCAAUGCUAAGAGCAUCUUCAAUAGAUGUUCAAAAUUUGACGGUCCAAAACCGAAGAUGUAAAAUUUGAACCGCCAAAAAAUACGUUUUGAAGCUUCGAAAAAAGCUUAACUCCAACAGAUGGUCCAAAUUGAUUGUCUAAAAGAGCAACUUCAAUAGAUGGUCCAAAAUGAAGAUGUAAAAUUUCUUAAAAUGACAAACUACUUGGCCAUUCAACAUAGUUCAAACAUCAAAUUCAACAUAGUUUCAUACAUGAACUUCAACUACUACUUCAAACUACUAGAUAGACUACUCCUCAUCGUCGGAGCUGCCGAACUGCUCCCAGAACUCCUCCUUCUCCGAGUCGUCGCACCUCUCCUCCUCCUCCUCCCCCGAGAAGUCUGCCCAGUCCUCCUCGGAAGAGGACUCGAUGGGGAUCACCGUGAGGGACCGGCCUUGUCCUCCUUCUUCUUCUGCUCCGCCUCAUGCUUCCAGUAGUGCUCCUGACAUCGAAGAACUUGAUGGGGAACGUCGCAUGGGAAACAAAAAUUUUCCUACGCGCACGAAGACCUAUCAUGGUGAUGUCCAUCUACGAGAGGGGAUGAGUGAUCUACGUACCCUUGUAGAUCGUACAGCAGAAGCGUUAGAGAACGCGGUUGAUGUAGUGGAACGUCCUCACGUCCCUCGAUCCGCCCCGCGAACAAUCCCGCGAUCAGUCCCACGAUCUAGUACCGAACGGACGGCACCUCCGCGUUCAGCACACGUACAGCUCGACGAUGAUCUCGGCCUUCUUGAUCCAGCAAGAGAGACGGAGAGGUAGAAGAGUUCUCCGGCAGCGUGACGGCGCUCCGGAGGUUGGUGAUGAUCUUGUCUCAGCAGGGCUCCGCCCGACCUCCGCAGAAACACGAUCUAGAGGAAAAACUAUGGAGGUAUGUGGUCGGGCAGCCGUGAGAAAGUCGUCUCAAAUCUGCCCUAAAAGCCCCAUAUAUAUAGGAGGAGGGAGGGGGACCUUGCCUUGGGGUCCAAGAGACUCCCAAGGGGUCGGCCGAGCCAAGGGGGGGAGGACUCCCCCCCCCCAAACCGAGUUGGACUUGGUUUGGUGGGAGGAGUCCCCCUCCCUUCCCACUUCUUCCCUUCUUUUUUUUCUUUUCCUUUGAUUUUCUUAUCUUGGCGCAUAGGCUCCCUUGGGGCUGUCCCACCAGCCCACUAAGGGCUGGUGUGUCCCCCAAAAGCCUAUGGGCUUCCCCGGAGUGGGUUGCCCCCCUUCGGUGAACUCCCGGAACCCAUUCGUCAUUCCCGGUACAUUUCCGGUAACUCCGAAAACCUUCCGGUAAUCAAAUGAGGUCAUCCUAUAUAUCAAUCUUCGUUUCCGGACCAUUCCAGAAACCCUCGUGACGUCUGUGAUCUCAUCCGGGACUCCGAACAACAUUCGGUAACCAACCAUAUAACUCAAAUACGCAUAAAACAACGUCUAACCUUAAGUGUGCAGACCCUGCGGGUUCGAGAACUAUGUAGACAUGACCCGAGAGACUCCUCGGUCAAUAUCCAAUAGCGGGACCUGGAUGCCCAUAUUGGAUCCUACAUAUUCUACGAAGAUCUUAUCGUUUGAACCUCAGUGCCAAGGAUUCGUAUAAUCCCGUAUGUCAUUCCCUUUGUCCUUCGGUAUGUUACUUGCCCGAGAUUCGAUCGUCAGUAUCCGCAUACCUAUUUCAAUCUCGUUUACCGGCAAGUCUCUUUACUCGUUCCGUAAUACAAGAUCCCGCAACUUACACUAAGUUACAUUGCUUGCAAGGCUUGUGUGUGAUGUUGUAUUACCGAGUGGGCCCCGAGAUACCUCUCCGUCACACGGAGUGACAAAUCCCAGUCUUGAUCCAUACUAACUCAACUAACACCUUCGGAGAUACCUGUAGAGCAUCUUUAUAGUCACCCAGUUACGUUGCGACGUUUGAUACACACAAAGCAUUCCUCCGGUGUCAGUGAGUUAUAUGAUCUCAUGGUCAUAGAAAUAAAUACUUGACACGCAGAAAACAGUAGCAACAAAAUGACACGAUCAACAUGCUACGUCUAUUAGUUUGGGUCUAGUCCAUCACGUGAUUCUCCCAAUGACGUGAUCCAGUUAUCAAGCAACAACACCUUCUUCAUAAUCAGAAGACACUGACUAUCAUCGAUCAACUGGCUAGCCAACUAGAGGCAUGCUAGGGACGGUGUUUUGUCUAUGUAUCCACACAUGUAAAUGAGUCUUCAUUCAAUACAAUUAUAGCAUGGAUAAUAAACUAUUAUCUUGAUACAGGAAUUAUAAUAAUAACUAUACAUUUAUUAUUGCCUCUAGGGCAUAAUUCCAACAGUCUCCCACUUGCACUAGAGUCAAUAAUCUAGCCCUCACAUCACCAUGUGAUUUACAUUGUAAUAAAUCUAACACCCAUACAGUUCUGGUGUCGAUCAUGUUUUGGCCGUGGAAGAGGUUUAGUCAGCGGGUCUGCUACAUUCAGAUCCGUGUGCACUUUGCAUAUAUUCACGUCCUCCUCCUCGACGUAGUCACGGAUGAGGUUGAAGCGUCGUUUGAUGUGUCUGGUCUUCUUGUGAAACCUUGGUUCCUUUGCUAAGGCAAUGGCACCAGUGUUGUCACGGAACAAGGUUAUUGGAUCCAGUGCACUUGGCACCACUCCAAGAUCCGUCAUGAACUGCUUCACCCACACACCCUCCUUAGCCGCCUCCGAGGGAGCCAUGUACUCCGCUUCACAUGUAGAAUCUGCUACGACGCUUUGCUUGGAAUUGCACCAGCUUAUUGCACCCCCAUUAAGAAUAAAUAUGUAUCCGGUUUGCGACUUAGAGUCGUCCGGAUCUGUGUCAAAGCUUGCAUCAACGUAACCUUUUACGGCGAGCUCUUCGUCACCUCCAUACACGAGAAACAUCUCCUUAGUCCUUUUCAGGUACUUCAGGAUAUUCUUGACCGCUGUCCAGUGAUCCACUCCUGGAUUACUCUGGAACCUGCCUGCCAUACUUAUGGCCAGGCUAACAUCCGGUCUAGUGCACAGCAUUGCAUACAUGAUAGAGCCUAUGGCUGAAGCAUAGGGGACGGAGCGCAUAUGCUCUCUAUCUUCAUCAGUUGCUGGGCACUGAGUCUUACUCAAUCUUGUACCUUGUAACACUGGCAAGAACCCUUUCUUGGACUGUUCCAUUUUGAACCUCUUCAAAACUUUACUCCAACAGAACUCCACUCCCCAGUUACCGGAGGGCUUCUGCCUCACGCCGAAGAAGCCGGACUUGCCCUUCGGCGUCUUCUUCGGCGCCAUCGGAGAGCGGUGGAGCGGCGGCGGCGUGCGGCCGGAGCGGUGGCGGACGGAGCCGGGCGGGGCAGAGCUGCGGGGCGGUGGCGGACGGAGCCGGGCGGGCCGGAGCUGCGGGGCGGUGGCGGACGUAGCCGGGCGGGGCAGAGCUUAGGGGCCGCUGAUGACCCACAAGUAUAGGAAAUCUAUCGUAGUCCUUUUGAUAAGUAAGAGUGUCGAACCCAACGAGGAGCAGAAGGAUCUGACAAGUGGUUUUCAGCAAGGUAAUCUCUGCAAGCACUGAAAUUAUCAGUAACAAGUAGUUGUGUGUCAAGAUGAUUCGCAGCAAGUAGCAAGUAACAAAAGUACCAACGGUACAGCAAAGUGUCCCAAUCCCUUUUGUAGCAAGGGACAAGCCUGGAAACUCUUAUAGGAGGUAAAGCACUCCCGAGGACACAUGGGAAUUUCUGUCAAGCUAGUUUUCAUCAUGUUCAUAUGAUUCGUGUUCGCUACUUUUUACAUAUGGACCGUCUGUUAGAGUUGCAUUUUUGGCCUCAGGCGGUCCAAAAGUUAGCUACUUUUACAUUUGGACCAUCUAUUGGAGAUGCUCUAAAACUGCCCCCCCCCCAUUUUCAGGGAUGGGCCCGUGUCCUUCUUAAUCUCCAAUUAGAAACUGACUAAUCAUCCCACAACAUCCAUUAGCCCGUAAGAGCAACUCCAACGGGCCGACCCAAACGGGCAGCGAUUUCAUGCGCUUAUUGUUCAUUUGGGUCGGCCAGACGGACACGAACGUCGGCUUCCGUAAAUGGGUCGGCUUGUGCGUCCAACGCUGGCCGGAUCCAUUUUUUGCCGGCAAGAAGGAAAAAACAUAAUGCAUAAUUAAACAUUAAAAGCCGGCCACGAAGGCCGGCGAUAGUCCACGUGUCGCGUCCGCAUUACAUUAAAUAAAACUAAAAGAACACCUAAAACUACGUUCAUGCAGCCCUAGGCGGCGGCGUCGUCGUUGUUGGGGCCGGUGAGGUCGACCAGGGUUGGCGCAGGGCUGGCCCAGGGGAACGCCGAGUUCCAGAGCGCAGCUGCCUGCGCCUCCGUCGUCUGCCCCGCCGGCGCAGGCUGUGCUGGUGGCGGUGGCAGCGCAGUAGCACGGGCACGCUCCUCCUCCGCCGCCUCCCGUCGCUCCUCCUCCUCAUCCUUCUCCACCAGCAUGAGCCGCAGGCCUUCGACGCGCUCCGCCCGCAGGUGCUCCGACCUCCAGUGCCCGAGGUAGGCUUGCUCCUGCCGCGGGGUCGUGCCUAGCCAGAUGGGUGGCACCGUCACGAACUCCUGGAUGACGCCGGUCCACUGGUAGACCUCCUGCGGCUCCGCGGGCUCGGGCUCCGGCCGAGGUGGCACGACGCAGUCGCCGCCGGCCGACAGUGCGAUGGCCUCCGCGAGGUGCUGUUUGCUCGUCGGCCAUGCGUCGCGCUUGUUCCUCGCUGUCGCGGAGGACACCAGCGAGCGCCGCCUGGUAGGCGGCCUCAGCCUCCUGGUCCUCGUCGCUGACGACAGUGGGGCGGAGGGCCUCCUGGCUGCACUUCGCGCACGCCACGGCGGCGCCGCUCCUCGUGCUCCACGGCAAACCACACCUUCUAGUUAGGGGAGUCGGCCGCGUAUGUGGGGUCUCGUCGCUGCUCCGCCAUUAGUAGACGCCAUCGCUUGGUCACCUCCUCCGCAUGCACCCGCGCCGACCGCGGCACGGCCGGCACUGGAAUCCUCUCCGAAUCCAGAUGAUAGUCGUGCGGCAGCGUGACGUCGGAGUAAGGGAGUGGCAUGCGGUGCUCCCAGUGCCACCGUGCUUGGUGCACCAGGACGCUCACGCGCUGGCGAGGCCGGCGGGAAGACGACGACGGCGAGAUGGCGCGGGGGAAGAGCGGGGCCUUGCCCUUGUUUGGGUAGCCGUCGGCCAUGGUGUGCUAGGGUUUCGGUCGCUUGGUCACCGAGGAGGUGGCGAGAUGGGGCGGGGGAGGGUUUUGGAAGCGGAUGGUGGAACUCACCGCACGCUCGAAUUAAAAAAGGCCGCCCGCGGUCGCCGACGCGUGGGCCCGAGGAUGGCGGCCAUCAUAAAUUAUGUUGACCGCGGUGAUUGGGGCGGACACCGAGGGGGCACGCGCGCGUCCGCGCCGACGCAAUUCAGUCCCAAAUUUGGGCCGGAAAUGGGUCGGCGCGGACGCGUUUUGGCAAUGGGUCGGUGCGUUGGGUCAUCUUUUUUGUCCGCGCCGACCCAAACGAACAGCGGCGGACGAAAUGGGUCGCCCCAUUGGAGUUGCUCUAAUUGCCCGUGGAUGUAGCAAAGCUCUACAAAUAGAGAUGUCUCGUGAUAAAUAAAAUAGCUUAAGGCUUUUAUAUUGACUUUUUUUUUCUGGAAUGCAAGCUAUCACAAAUGGGCUUCAUCAAAUAAUAAUUAAAAAACUCUAAUACACAUGCAUUUCUACUUUUCACUCUAAUUUUUUAUUUUUUUAUACCUUUUUCUUUAAGCAUCCGCCUUCUGCAAAGGAUUCCGCUUUCUUAUCCAAACCUAUUUUUCCUGACAUCCGAUCCUACAUGACAUACGAGGCAUCACCCUUCGGCUAUGCAUUGGUCAUGCCCCGAGGAGGCACAAGUGAACUAAUCAAUCGUUUAUGUGUGUAUGUGGGGUGGGGGGUGUAAAUUUGGUGUUUUUACCCUUUUAAAAAAGUUUAACCGGGACGUACCUAGCUUUAAAAAAAAUCAGGGUCUGAUUUUUUCUUAUCGCCAAGAAGCCGGUGAUAGGAUUUCACGGUAGGGAUGCACGUCAUACCAUAAAAACAAUUUAAAUAUCAAACAAUGUGCUUGUACUCAUAUAUGGGUGGACACUUUGAUGAUAGGGUUGCACAAACUACUGUGAGACUGUUUGGGUGUAGGGUCAUGCUGCGUUAACGUGGACAAGUUGCCUACUGUUAGGAGCCUUGCCGGUAGGAUGGUAUACUCUACUGCCAUGAACCCCGAUGGUAGGAAAAGUUCAGAUCCUGAAAUGUUUUUAAACUAGGAUCAAAUCUACGUAAACUUUCAUAAAAGGGUCAAAACACCAAAUUUUGUCGUGGGUGGGUGGUUACGUAAACUUGCUUACCUCUCAGUUGGGCAAAAAAAAACCUUGUUUAGGCUAAAACGUGGUAAUUUGGGUCUGAUUUAGAUUAGCUACUCAAAAGAAUUUGCCAUUGAUGUACACAAUAAAAAUUCCAUCAGUCCCUAACAAAAUAUCAUCAAGUUCAAAAAUGGAUCACGGGUACAAAGAGAUAUCUUGAUUUAUAUUUUUUUGGAAUUUUCAUGCCUUACGAACAAAUGACCGGAUAGUGGGGUAUGUUUAAACACAAAUUUGCCAUAUCUAAAUUUUAAAAAUGUCCUAUCACACAAAAAAGGGUGGUCGUGAUGCUUGUACCUUAAGAAUUGCAUACAAAAAGAAAUUUACCAUCAUAUGCUAAAAGAUGGCAUGUCCUUAUAAGAUUCGGUGCUCUACCAAAUAAAAAAAAUGCUCUAUAAAAAAAGGUUCUUUCAAAUAAAAAUGACAUGCUCUACAAAAAAAGCAUGCUCUUUAAAAUAAAAUGGCAUGCUCUUUAAAAUAAAAGAAUGAAUGGUCCAGAAAAAAUGUCAUGCUACAAAAACAAAGUACCAUUGCUUACUAAAUAAAAUUUCCAUGACAUGAAUGCUUAAAGUACCAUGGCCUAAUGAAUAAAAACACAUGGUGCAACUAUAGGAAAUUGACAUGGUACCUAAGAUAAAAACUAACACGUUAUGAAAAUGGUAAAAAUGGCAUGGUCUAAUUAGUGAAAUUACCAUGAUGCCUAUCAUAAAUUUGCAAAUGGCACUGCUAGCAUGGGCAAACCAUUAGUAUUAUCUUAUGGUGAUUAUCUACAUAAUUGCAUGAGAAAGCAAAUUGCCAUGGGAAGAAAAUUAGAAAAUGUUUCAUGCAAACAUUGCCAUGUGAGAACAUCCAUAAAUAAAUAUGCCAUGGUCUAAUGCAUAAAUAUUGUCAUGGUUACUUGAAGUGAAAAUGCGAUAGUCCAGAGCAUAAAUAUUUCCAUGGUUACAUGAAUUGAAAAUGACAUGGUCUAAUUUGAAAGAAAAUGCCAUUCACCAACUAAUAAAUAUGCCAUGGUAUAAUUUGAAAGAAAAUGCCAUUCACCAACUAAUAAAUAUGCCAUGGUCUAAAGCAUAAAUAUUGCCAUGGUUACUUGAAGUGAAAAUGCCAUGGUCUAAAGCAUAAAUAUUAGCCAUGGUUACAUGAAUUGAAGAUGCCAUGGUCUAAUUUGAAAGAAAAUGCCAUUCACCAACUAAUAAAAAUGCCAUGGUACCCAAAAUAAAAUUAUCAUGUUCUCAAUGGUACAAAUUCCAUGGUAUGAUUACUAAAAAAUGCCAUGGUGCCUAUGAUAAGACUACCACUGUCUAAUUAGUACAACAAUCAUACAAAAAGAAUGUUAGACGGUUUGUUUAAAAAACAUUUAUACUAUGAUGUGUAUACACUUUGCCAACACAAAAAGUUGCCCCGACAAGAUAUUAGUUUUUUUGCCAUGUCAACGGAAUUUUUUUAUUCCAUCACAACAUAUCACUUACAAAAAAUGAAGCCAUUCGGCCACAACCAAGAAUUAUGUGAAAAUGACAUCGUCCUAUAAGAAACAUAUCACUUAUACUACAAAAAGACAAACAAUUCUACAAAAAUGACUUGGGGAUAAAAAUGCCAUGGCAGAAAUAUAAACUUAUUGCCAUGGAAGAUUACUUGUUCUCUUCCAUCACAACAUAUCAAUUAGAGAGAAAAAAAUGUUGUGUGGCUACAAUCAAAAUUCUGUAAAAAUGUCAUCAUACAAAUUCUAUAAAUUUUUUGUAAAAAUGCCAUCACAAAAAUUCUAUAAAAUGUCAUCAUAUCCAUAUACUAUAAGAAGAACAAAUUCUACAAGAGGAUAAAGAAAACGCCAUGGCGAAAAAUAAAUUAAACCUAUUGCCAUGGGAGAUUUGCACGUAUUCAGAUUAGCUGAAUAAAUGCACUUUACUGUGAGCUAAAAAAAAGGGGUGGGGGAGAGAUUUGCGUUACAGGAAGAGGGAUGCAUCAACCAUGCAUUGGUCCGGAGUCGGUCGGCAUUCUUUCUCGCGCUCUCAUCUCAUCCGCUCGUGAAAUGAAAUGGGGGAAGAGGCAAUGACCGCCAAACCUGGGAGAGGGUAAGGUCUGGUCGUCUUCACCCGUUCGUGCCAACACACUCUAUAGCAAACAAAAAAAAACACAAGGUGCCAAGUUCUGGUGCUUCAAUAUUAUCAUGAUUUUCGAUGGAACGUCAGCCAAAUAGCAUUUGGUUUUUGUUUCUGAGAGAGAAUUCUACCCUUCAUCGGUCUGAGUGUCCCGACAGGGUGAACGAAACGAGGAAGCGGGCUCUGGCAUAAAAUGACACCAAUGAAAUAACCCAAACAGGCUGGUGUUUCAUGAAAGCCCACCAAAAGGCCCAAGUGCUAACAACCUCACCGCAGUUGCCACUGUGCGUCUGUGCUACCCCCCUAAAAAAAACUGUGCUGGCAAAAACCGUACCUUGUACAAAUUUUUUGUCGAGAAUUUUUUGUGCAAGGAAUUUAUUUUCUCCCUCAAGUUAAACAAAAGGGCUAACGGAGUUAUCCAUACAAGCACACACGAAAAGAGAAGAAAAAAAAACGAUUAGCUCAUCUCAACAAGCACAACGGAGCAAGUCCAGACCCGAAUCUUGAGCCUCCGCCUGUCAACGGAAUUGACAAGUUUCCUCCUCUCCUUGUUUAUAUCCCAAGAGUCCCUGACCACAGCCAGGUAUGUCUCCCAGCAAAAAUGGUGCUGGGACUUGCUUGUACAGCAAAAAAGCUCUCAUGCGGCUGAUGUUGCCCCCUCCCACUUGUUCACCACCUCUUUCAACUGCUCAAAUCCCUGAAAUGCAACAGACGGGUAAGACAGGAGUAAGCAAGUGUUCUGGGUUGUUGCUAGGCAGUGGGCACAAGUACACUAGCACCUACUACAGGCUAUGUCGACACACAUAUUGCUCAGCUUAGGCAUUUCCCGGUAUCAAAACUAUCGUUAACUGCCAAGCCAUAUCAAUUAGUCCAGCGCUUAUACUGAUGACAACUAACAGAAAGCAACAAUUUAACAAUCUUGCUAGUUUGUACUACCCUCUGUACACUAAUGUAAGGAACUGCAAAAACGUCUUACAUUAGUGUACAGAGGGAGUACAAUUUAGUAAGCAACUCCCAGAUGAAUGGUGCUCUGUACAGAGCAGGGAAGAGACAACAUUUGGGGGCUUCUAAAUGUCUCCCUUAUUCUCUCGGAAAGUCCAAACAAUUCCUUCCCUCCCAAAUGACUAAACUGCAAUAGUAUUUGAUGGAAGAACAGAAUCCGCUCACCAUUCUGUUCGUGAAGCUCCCAAAAGAUUCGCCUUCCUGGCGCGUGCUAUUCCAAUAGGAAAACAGUGGUUCCAAAACCUUCUCAAUAUCUUGAAGCUUCACUUUAUUCAUGAAAGUUUCUGCCAAGGUGGUCUGGUUUGGUGUUCCUCCAAGCCAGAUCUACGGUCACAAUAAAGAAAAGCUCAAUUGAGAAAAAUAAAAUAUGCAAACAAAAUCAUGAAUGUGAACAAAAAGGAAGUAUCACUGUUUGCAUAAAUGAUGUCAGAACUAUUUCGGCAUUAUUUUACCUGAUAACUGUUUGGGCCGUCACCAACAAAGCCAACCUCGGCCAUGUAUGGUCUGGCGCAUCCAUUAGGGCAGCCAGUUAUCCUCACCACUACAGACUCCUCUUCCUUGAUGCCAACCUAUUAAGCAAGCAACAUUAACCUAAUUAUUAAGUGACAAGACAGGUACAAACUAUGCACUACAUAUUCUAUCUCAAGUGUUAAAGUUGAUUGAUUUUCGACGGGACAACAAAUGAAUACCUUGUCGAAAACUGCUCUAAUUCGUUUAAGAAUCGGUAGGAUCCCUCGUUCAGCUUCUGUUUGUGCGAGAGGGCACAGAGGUAAGGCAGGGCAUGCCAUGGAGGUUAUGUUCAGGAGAUCAACAUCCUUUGGUUCCUACAUAUAUGAAUACCCAAUUUUUAGUGAGGAGAAAAAGAUCACCCUGUUGCGCUCCAGACAAUAUAUAUAGGAAAGCCUUGCAGUUUUUCAUUUCUAAAUUUAAUAACCAGCCUUGCGUUCAAUUUUUCAAUGUGAGAAGAACGAAUCAGUAUAUAGGGAAGAGUAACAAUAUGACCAACAUUAUCAAUUGGAACAGCAGAUGCAGCACGGAUAAUUUCAAGAUAGAAUAAUUUACAGUGCCCUAAUAAUAAUAUCAACUUAAUAAGUGUAUACUCCACAUCACAGGGUAGGGAUAUGAAAUGGACGAAAGAAAUCUUACCAACAGACCAGCUUGAGCAAGAGCUGCAGUUAUUGGUUCUCUCCAUGCCUGAUCAACCCCACAUAAGAUAAGGUUUUGGUUUGGAGUAAUGCUAACAUCCAAGUUAUACUUCUCAAUUAUCUCUCGCAGAGUUUUCUUUGCUUGCCCCCCAAGACGACCAUUAUCAACAUGCACUCCAUAGAAUAAUUUACCAUCACCCUGCAGUAAACAAUAUAGAGAAAAACAAAUGAAAACCUAAAUUUCAUAAAAUAACCAAUUGAUAUAUGAAUGUUGUGAACGAACAAACAUAUGAGAGAUAUGCCAGGAUUUAUCAAAUGCUCUUAUGCAGACUACAGCAAGAGAACAAAUAAAUAUGCAAGCCAAGUCAAAAUUUGAAGCAUCGAGGAAGUAAACUAAAUUAAAAAUGACAAACGGAAAUUUUGUAUGAAAAUAUCAGCAAUCCUCCCUAAACAAGGUAAAUAAUUUCUUCCAAAAUUUCUUUGCCACAUCUUGACCAAGAUAAUUAUGAUGGGGAAUUAUACCUGCUCCUGCCACCCAAGGUAGCUGUUGAACUGCCAUUCCGGUAAUGGACGAAAAUCUUCAAACUUCUUCCCAUAAUAUUUUUCAGCUUCAGCCCGGAACUUGUCGAUUCCCCAGCUGUCAAGCAGAUACUUCAGUCUGCUAUACCUGCGGUCAUCUCUUCUUCCAUUUUCCCUCUGUGUAACAACUAUUGCCUUUAUAGCAUAUAAUAUAUCCUCCUUAGGAACAUAACCAAGUGGAUCAGCCAGCCGAGGGAAUGUGGUUUCUAUUCUGUGUGUCCUUCCCAUGCCACCUCCAACCUGAAAAAUUGGGAUAGAUAAAAAAAAAGGUAAGCAUUGCUAAAUGCAGUACAAGAUGGAGCAGAAUUUUCUUUGGCACUUACAUAGAGGUUAAAGCCAACAGGCUCCCCUGCACUAUCUGAAACUACAACAACACCGAUGUCAUUCGUCAGAAUAUCAACAGAGUUAUCACCAGCAACUGUGACCGCAAUCUUGAACUUCCUGGGCAGAUACUGGGUCCCGUAGAUUGGCUCAGGAGAAUCAGGGAAGUUUGUUCCAUGUGAGUUAUCAUUCCGGGCUUUGGUGACCUCAGGUGGUUCUUCCGCUGACAUUAUCUUCUCUCCAUCCACCCACAGGUCAUAAUAAGCCCCUGACUGUGGAGCGAGAAGUGCUGCAAUAUUCUCUGCUGUUUCUUGAGCAAAAAGAAUAUCUUUUCUCACGUAUGGUGCGGCAGGUGCAAGCACAUUCCUAUUGAGAUCUCCACAAGCACCUAAGGUUGAUCCCAUAUUCUUAAUCACAGUGCUGAUGACAUGCUUCAAGUUCUUCUUAAGAACGCCGUGCAGCUGAAAUGUUUGCCUGGUUGUCAGACGGAGCGUUCCAAUCCCAAACUCAUCAGCCAGUGUAUCCAUAGCCAAGUAAAGCUGGUUCGGAACUUUUCCGGAAGGAUUCUUUGUCCGGAGCAUAAACGAGUAAUUCUUCUGGCCACGGACUUCCCGGUCGCUCUGCUGAUAGCUUCCAUGGAACUUAAUCAGCUGGACAGCAGUUUCGUUGACGUUGGGAGCCUCUGAGACCAGCUCCUCAUUCAAAGGGUAGCGAAGAAAAUUGCUCUUCUCCUUGAUUAUUUCGACCUUGCUUCGCUUAACUUGCGAUGCAUCCUUCUUCAGGGGCUGCAGGAACGGCAAAAGGUUUCAGAAUUCAGAGCAUCGGAUAGCAGCAGUCGUGCAUCAUUGCAUAGUGUUUUUUCCUAUUCAGCGACUACCAGUAUAAUACUCUAAAAGCGAUUUAUCAAUGAACAUUUCAGGAGUAAGCAGCUAAGUAAGAUAAGUGUGAUCGUGUACUACUGUAUUUAAAAUGGAUUCAGUUCCUAUCAAUGACAGAGGCAGUCAGUGAGUGUUGCCCUGGGCGAUGGGGAUUCCGAAAUCAACGCUUGACUGAUCUGGUUUCACACCAGUGGCUAGCCCUCACCGAAACAUAGUACAGUACAAAAAUCCACAUGAACAUGAAUUAGUAUAACGAAACCUAAUCCCAUCAAUUUCAUGAAACCAGGGUCGGUUAAACUGCCCUCAAAACCUGAUGAAUUCCAUUCCCGACGGGCGAGCCCCGAAAAAACCUCCCCCGCGAAAACGAAGAAAACCCUAAACUCGAACGCGCCCGCCGCCCCGCCACACCAGAAAACUCACCGUGGACACGGCGCGAAUGCUGGCCGCCGAGGGCCCGCCGCCGCCAGCCGGUGUGGCCCCGGGCGGCGCCACCCUGACGGGGCGCCCGAGCAUCCGGGACCUCGGGAGCUGCGCUGCGCCCCCGAAACCAUGGAACUCGGCGCCGCCCACCGCCGCCGACAUCGCCGCGGCAGGAACCGGCCGGAACGCAGGGAUGGAGGGGGGGAUGCGCGGCGAGAGGAGUGCGAGUGAUGGAUUUUUGCUGCUGCGGGCGCUUGGCUGGGUCGAGGGGCCGUGACGACGGGCCGCGGGGGCUUUAGUGGGGGGCGGGCACGGCCGCCCUGGCCCACCCGGGAUGAGCGCUCCCGUGCGCUCGGCGUACCGUAGACCACUAGACCAGACGGGCCAGGACAAAGUGCGCGCGCCUUGGCAGGUGGGUGCGGGUGCAUGCGCGGGGCUCAGGCGGAACGAGGAGGUGGGCAGAGGGGAUCGGCUGCGGCGAGCAUCAGGCCUGACGACCGUGGCGGCCACGCGUCGAGCGGCAAGGGAUGACAAGUGGGCUCCGUGGGUGCGGGGCCCGCCUGUCGGUGACAGGUGGGACGCCGAGCCGACGGGCUUGUUUGUUUAUUGGGAGGGAGGCGAGCGCAUGGGAGGCGGCCGAGAUGCGUAGGUGCGACGGGUGGGGCGCUGGAUUGACCCCGGUUCGUGUGGGUACGUUGAACCUGGACGUCUUUUUCGGUGGGAGAAAGCACGAUUCCCCGCCCACCACUGCGGUGGAGGGCUCGUAGCAGCCGCACCGCACGAUGUGAGGUCAGAGAUGAGAUCAGGGACCAUCUUGUCUCUGCGGGGCAGAAUCUUGCGGCCUGUGGCCCCGUGUGGCUGCCUGCCUCUGUUUCUAGCGCCGGCGACAGUGAGCGGCUCCUGGUCUCGGAAAAGGCCGCUCAUGUUCAUGUAGCCCUGCCCGUUUCUUGCCGCCAGCCGGUUCGCGAAAUACUCCGCAUCAACGCUUAAGUUUUCGAACAGGAAAUUAACAGUUACUCCCUCCAUUCCAUAAUACAGUAUAAAAACAUUUCUAACAGUAGUGCAUAGGAUGUUCAUUUAGUGCUAAAAGUGCAAAAUACCCCCUCCGUUUUAAAAAGUUUGCCUUAAAUUUGUUUAGAUAUGAAUGUAUAUCUAGUCAAGUUUUAGUAUUUAGAUACAUCCAUUUCUAAACAAAGUUAAGAUAAGAAUUUUGAAACGGAGGGACUACGUCAUUACAGUCUCACAGCUUGUCUAUAUGUGCAGAUACGAUCACUUUUUCGUAUCCAGCCAUAUUUCAAACUCACGUGGCUUGUUAGUAUGAAUGUGGCCCAUAUAUCAGUGGUCGUAAAUGGUGAGCGACGGGUAAGCAAAACAUUAUCUUUUUUCUUUUGGAAAACACUCUUGACUUUUAUUUACUUACGCACCUGUCAGCAUAUGGUGCUCGCAAAAAACUAGAAUAGAAAAUAGCGUCAAGGGGAUUCGAUCGACGUCCUCCAUUCCAUGAACUAACUAAACUAUCCACUCCACCAGAAAUAAUUAGAUACUCCCUCCGUCCGCAAUUACUUGUCGCGGAAAUGGAUAAAAAUGGAUGUACUUAAAACUAAAAUACAUCUAGAUGCAUCCAUUUCUCCGACAAGAAAUUCGGGACGGGGGGAGUACAAGACAAAAAACACCAUUUUUCUUUAAUACAAUGUACAAUCAGCCCAACAAACUAAUAAACAAGAACUAAAAACUUGUCAUGUUAUUCCUUGCAGGAAUAAACUGAUGUAAGGAAACAACUUAUAUUGUGUUGUUUGUGACACUAAAAAAUUCAUGUCUUACAAAAAAAUACACGAAGUUUUUAAAAAUGCUUAAAAAUUGUAAAAAAUAUUUUUGUAAUUGGAAUAACAUAGGUUGCAUUUUAUAGAUGUCCAUGUAUACAAAACAAUAUUCAUGAUCGGAGUAAAAAUGGUCGUUUGUAUGUUGUUAUUUUUUCGGGCGGUUUGUAUGCUUUCAUUUAUCUUGUUCUAUUUAAGAAAACUACACGGGGAAUAGAUAUUCUCCAUGACAUGUGCAUAUUAUCAUGGAGAAAGUGGGAUCAUCCUGAUUGAGCGGUCUAUUAUUUAAAAAAUAUUUAAAUUUUAAAUUUCUUUCGGACAAAUCACUUAAACUAUAUUUUCUUUUACCGAUUUUUCAAUUUAAAAUUAUUUGUAUUGAAACAGUUUUUUUGUUGAUUUGUCUAAAAGAAAUUUACGUACAUCCAGUCUACACUGUAUCAUCUUUUAUCUAGAUUUUUAAAAUUAAAACUAUUCAAGUUUAAAGCAGACAUUUGAUUUGUCCGAAAAGUUUACAUGCAUGCACUCAAAAAAAUGUUAUUUUAUCAAAAAAGUUAUGUACAUUCAUUCUGAUAUUUAUUUUUUUAUCUAGAUUUUCAAAUUUAAAAUUAUUGGAAUUCAAACAAAACAUUCGGUGAUUUGUUUCAAGGAAUUGGUGUUCAUUCAUUCUGCAUUAAAUAUUUUUAACUAAAAUCUUUAUAAUUUUAGAAAAACAUUAAUCCGAAAAAAAUGAACAUUCAUUCUGCACUAUAUUUCCUUUUAUCUAUAUUUUAAAAUUUUAAAUUGUACAAAUUCAAACGUUAUUUUGUUAUGUUGUCGAAAAUAAUUUACACGUAUUCAUUGUGCACUAGAUUUUUUAAAUUGAAAUUGUUCAAACUAAAAAAUGAUUUGUCAGAAAAAAAAUGUGUACAUUCAUUCUGCACUAUAUUUCCUUUUAUCUAGAUUUCAAAUUUCAAAUUAUUUGAAAUCAAAUAAAAUUUUAGUUGCUUUGUCCGAAAAAUUUACCUGGAAUAUAUGUUGUUUGCAUACAUAGUAAAAAAGAAAGAAAAAUAGAGAAGAUAAAUUAUGUAUAUCUCUUCAAUUCAUGUCAGGAGGUCAUAGGUUCAAACUGGUGUUUCCCUCUUUUGCACACUCUUCUUCCCUUAUGAUUUUUUUCUUUAAUUCGUAUUAACAUAUAUUAUAUAAAUCUAAUUGCCAUAUGUCCAUUGGUAAGAUUGGUUAUCUAUGCCCUCUUAAUCAUAUGAGGUCGUGGGUUCGAAUCUAGUUCUAGAGUUUUCUUAAUUUUAUGACAUGUACACAACUAAAUAAAAGCCAUGGGUCUUUUCUGCAAAAAAACAAAGAUAAUGUGAGGCACACCUAACAUGCGGGACGCGUUCAUGCUGACGUGUCAUGUGAGCACUAGAUACGGCUCGAUACAAAAGAAGUGAUUGUAUAUGCACGCAUGGACUAGUUAUGUGACUGUAAUGAUGUAUUUUAUAAUUUUUAGCACUAAACUAAACAUGAGACGCAAGUUCUAUGAUUGCCACUCAUACUACCUCGUUACGUUUCUUGUCGCUAGAUCGGAUGAACAGUUUGAUUUCUUUCUUCAAGGUAGGUCACAAAACUUGCAUCAGAUAAUCAGUUUGGUUCAUACACUUCUAUUUUAUUUUCCAAGGUAACCACGUGUAUCAUUGAUCAUAAAUAAGAAUCAUACAAAGCAUGCAUGCGGAACCAACCGGAAGGGUCCGCAGAAGAUCGUAAAGAACACUCAAAGAAAGAAAAUUACAAAGAAAUAUUUACGUAAUCCUGUGAGGAGAGCCACAACCCAAAAUGGCAUUGUGAAUCGAUGAAGGAGCCCGCCAACGGCAAGGUCUUUAUCGAUGUGGCGAGUCGACCGGGGAUCAUCCCCACUCCCUCUCGAGUCCCAAAGCCAUCACCAACCGUCGAUAUCGUCGAGGCCAAGCGCUAGAUCCACACCAUCAAUCCUCAAACACAGAUUGCCAUUCGCUCUCGCCCACCGAUGGCGUCGUUAAGGACGACAACCACCGGUCGAAGACCUAAACACGUUAACCUGAAGGGGCGACGAAAGACAGAACCCAGUGGCUCCUCGACGGCACCAUGGACGCCAUCAAGACGAGACUGUAGCAUGGGCGUUAUUUUUGAAUGCAUUACCGUCGUCAUCGUCAGAAGCGACACCGCCUCACAUACAAAGCCUACCCUACAAUCUCACAAAGUGUCUUGGAUCUCGUGCUGCAGCUCGUUACUCACCAAAAGUCCGCUUCUCUUCUUCCUCCUCCUCUCUCUCCUCCAACUAAGCAAGGAUAUAAUAUUUUAAUCCUUAUAGCCUGCUUAUGUCACCUUAUUGUACUUGCUUUUAUGUGUGAGAGAAAAAUCACUAGGGUCCCCACCCCCUCUAGUCUUAGUCUUGAAGAAGACGACAUAGGAGGCAGGAUUGGCGGCGUCGUGGACGAAGGUGUUGGGGAACGUCGCAUGGGAAACAAAAAUUUUCCUACGCGCACGAAGACCUAUCAUGGUGAUGUCCAUCUACGAGAGGGGAUGAGUGAUCUACAUACCCUUGUAGACCGUACAGCAGAAGCGUUAGAGAACGCGGUUGAUGUAGUGGAACGUCCUCACGUCCCUCGAUCCGCCCCGCGAACAAUCCCGCGAUCAGUCCCAUGAUCUAGUACCGAACGGACGGCACCUCCGCGUUCAGCACACGUACAGCUCGACGAUGAUCUCGGCCUUCUUGAUCCAGCAAGAGAGACGGAGAGGUAGAAGAGUUCUCCGGCAGCGUGACGGCGCUCCGGAGGUUGGUGAUGACCUUGUCUCAGCAGGGCUCCGCCCGAGCUCCGCAUAAACGCGAUCUAGAGGAAAAACCGUGGAGGUAUGUGGUCGGGCUGCCGUGGAAAAGUCGUCCCAAAUCAGCCCUAAAACCUCCGUAUAUAUAGGUGGGAGGGAGGGGGCCUUGCCUUGGGGUCCAAGGACCCUCAAGGGGGUCGGCCGAGCCAAGGGGGAGGACUCUCCCCCCCCAAACCGAGUUGGACUAGGUUUGGUGGGAGGGAGUCCUCCUCCCUUCCCACCUCCUCCUUUUUUUUCCUCUUGAUUUUUCUUCUCUUGGCGCAUAGACCACUUGUGGGCUGUCCCACCAGCCCACUAAGGGCUGGUGUGUCUCUCCCAAGGCCUAUGGGCUUCCCCGGGGUGGGUUGCCCCCCCCGGUGAACUCCCGGAACCCAUUCGUCAUUCCCGGUACAUUCCCGGUAAUUCCGAAAACCUUCCGGUAAUCAAAUGAGGUCAUCCUAUAUAUCAAUCUUCGUUUCCGGACUAUUCCGAAAACCCUCGUGACGUCUGUGAUCUCAUCCGGGACUCCGAACAACAUUUGGUAACCAACCAUAUAACUCAAAUACGCAUAAAACAACGUCGAACCUUAAGUGUGCAGACCCUGCGGGUUCGAGAACUAUGUAGACAUGACCCGAGAGACUCCUCGGUCAAUAUCCAAUAGCGGGACCUGGAUGCCCAUAUUGGAUCCUACAUAUUCUACGAAGAUCUUAUCGUUUGAACCUCAGUGCCAAGGAUUCGUAUAAUCCUGUAUGUCAUUCCCUUUGUCCUUCGGUAUGUUACUUGCCCGAGAUUCGAUCGUCAGUAUCCGCAUACCUAUUUCAAUCUCGUUUACCGGCAAGUCUCUUUACUCGUUCCGUAAUACAAGAUCCCGCAACUUACACUAAGUUACAUUGCUUGCAAGGCUUGUGUGUGAUGUUGUAUUACCGAGUGGGCCCCGAGAUACCUCUCCGUCACACGGAGUGACAAAUUCCAGUCUUGAUCCAUACUAACUCAACUAACACCUUCGGAGAUACCUGUAGAGCAUCUUUAUAGUCACCCAGUUACGUUGCGACGUUUGAUACACACAAAGCAUUCCUCCGGUGUCAGUGAGUUAUAUGAUCUCAUGGUCAUAGGAAUAAAUACUUGACACGCAGAAAACAGUAGCAACAAAAUGACACGAUCAACAUGCUACGUCUAUUAGUUUGGGUCUAGUCCAUCACGUGAUUCUCCUAAUGACGUGAUCCAGUUAUCAAGCAACAACACCUUGUUUGUAAUCAGAAGACACUGACUAUCAUUGAUCAACUGGCUAGCCAACUAGAGGCAUGCUAGGGACGGUGUUUUGUCUAUGUAUCCACACAUGUAAAUGAGUCUUCAUUCAAUACAAUUAUAGCAUGGAUAAUAAACUAUUAUCUUGAUACAGGAAUUAUAAUAAUAACUAUAUAUUUAUUAUUGCCUCUAGGGCAUAAUUCCAACAGAAGGCUGGGAGCAGCAGUUCGCCAACCCAAUCGCCUCUCUCGGGCGGUUGUUGGAGCGAAGAAGUGUGGUAUGUCUUCUUUUUGGUUCAUAAACUUGUGAAACUAUAAAAUAACUCAGGCGUUGCUAUAAAAAAAUCAAUAUAUCAAGGUGUAAAAGCUCACGUGUGUAUACUUAGAGGACAAAUAAGAGAUAGUCACUCCGUAAAAGAUGUAAGAGCGUUUAAACCACUACAUUAGUGAUCUAAACGCUUAAUAAGGAAAAAAAACACCACUAAGUGGGAUGCUUCUGAGUUCCGACUUCACACAGGUCACAUUUGCAAAAUACAGUAAUAAUCUAUGUUGUUUCAACCUGGCAAAUUACAUAAGCAGAAACACUGGCCACAGACCAAGAUUCUGCCCCGUGGAGACAAUAUGAGAUUCUGCCGCAAAAAAAAGGGAGACAGUAUGAGAUGUAUGAUUUCUGGACAGUAGUAAUUCACUUCAUUUAUUUAUUUACGACAGUAAAACCGAGCCUAAUCCAAGCUCUCUCACACCAUUUGCUUUCCUGGCCGUUCGUUUUGGCUAUCUGGUUGUUGGUGGCCGUCGGAUCUGCUCCACUUAAUGUUGUGCGGCGUCCCGGCCCAACUCGUGUAGCUUCCUGGGCCAACUGGCCUAAGGGCUACUACUCCGGAAGAAAAAACCGAGGCCUCUGAUUAAUUGGGCUGAUCGAGGAAGCCCACUUAAACAACGAGGUCCGACUCCGAUCUGUCGCUGGAUCGCGUACGUAAAGAAAAAAACAAUUGUGUGGUCGAGGGGAUGCUUGACGGGAAGAGAGAGGAGGCGCUCGUGGCAGCCGAGGCGCGAGAGGGGCGAGCGAGGUGAUCCAGAUUGAUGCAUGCGAGGGUAGCGAUCUAGCCGACGAGGUGAUCCAGCAGACGCGCAUGAUGCGGAUGAAUCAGUGGCCGUCCGAUCCAGCCGAUGCGGUCGAUCCGUUUGUGAAGUUGAAAAGGCGAACGCAGUUGAUGAUUGUGGGCGCCUCAUCUGUUGGAAACUGCUCGCAAUCAUACUUGGGUUUCUAAGGGUUCAUUCAUGGUGAUUGAUAUGCUAAUCCUUUCCACUGCAGGGUGCUAUGUCUAUAUAUUCUUCCUCCCUAACACUCUUGGCUCAUUCUUUCUACCCGGCAGCACAAGAUCUUUCAUCAUGGUCAACACCAUCCUAUUUCAAUUUGCCUGAUGGGUGGUAUGGGCGUUACCGCAGAUCCUGUGAGUUCAAAUAAAUCUUUCGGGUUGCCCAGACCCUCCUUAAUUCAUGGUAUAGAAAGCACAUUUGCUUCCAUUGUGAUACGUUCAUAGUUUGUUUGUUGGUGAAUAGGAUUUAACUUGAAUUGGCCCACUUUCCAUGCAGGAAUUUUGGAGGCCAUAGCGAUGUUUUUAUGUAUGUACAAUGUAUAAAUCUCCUGGAAUUUGAUGUUAGUUGAUUGCUUUUGGUGCUUCACAUGUUGAAUGUUUAACAACUAAAUAGAGAGGAUUAGUCCAAUCAGUAUGUUAUUGGAUUUAUGAACUGAAAUUCUAUUCUCCGAUUCUGCAUCAGACCGACGCUCCAGAAGAUUCCCCUUUUUUUCCCUUGUCACCAUGUGUUUUAUUUUGUUUGUUGCAUUCAUCAUGUCAUCAUGCCAAAUUAAGGAUAGGGUCGCAUCUCGGAUGCGACAUAUAGGUACAACAUGUGGUCUCUGGAGUUAAAAGGAAGCUGAAAGCCCUCCUGUAGCACACUAAUUAGUGAAGGUUGAGUUUGAUGGACUGGUGGCUAAUUCGAUAUAUAUUGAUGAAUCACUUUGCUAUAUCACCAUUUUUUCGUGAAAACUUAUAGAUGCCUAACAUCAUUCAUCUGCAUAAUUCUUGAAAAGGGGAUGACCCCUCUGCAUAUGAGAUAAAAGAACUUCAAAUCAGAUGUACGUGCGCUUACAUUCUUUGGGAUAUCUCUACGCUUUCGCUUGCAUUUAUGUUGGCAAGGUGGAAGUUUUUAUUUUAUAUUAGUACUUAAACGAACUGGUAAUUAGCUUUUAUCUGGUGCACAUGCUGACAUUUCAUUAAUGAUGAGGUCAAGGUGUUCUUUCAGUCUGCAAAUUACUACUCCCUCUCACCUAAAAAGUGUCUCAGCUUUGAACUAAGGACACUUUUUUGCGACCGGAGGGAUUACACAUUUGCACCUUUCUUCUUGCCUGCAGCUUUAUACCAUCAGAUCCUGCAUAUCGUUGGUCAGUCAAAGUUUCACACCUCUUCUAAGACAGAUGGUGAGUAUUAUGUUAGCUAAGCUAGCUAGAUGUAGGUGAACUUCUUUUUGGCCAUCUCCACAUAUUUUUGCUACUGUCUUAAUUGGUUCCUGGUCCUUCACCCUAAUGCUGGCAUGAGAUAUUAUUCGGUACUUGCCAGGCAUGAGAUAUUAUUCGGUACUUGGCAUUGUAUCUACAUUUUGUUAUCCUAAAUUAGAUGCAUGGUCUUUCCAGAACUUGCUUCUUCGGUUUUGGUGCGAUUUAUUUCUGGCUGGUGUCGGUACUUUCUGAUCAUGUCCUAUUUGCUGAAUAAGGUUGUAGAUACAUGCCAUCUUAUCGAUGAUAGUACAUGCGUUCUACAGUUUCAGUCUUCAUGGUCAUCUAAACAUGCAUGUACAUAAUAAUUUUCUGCCAAUUUUUUUAUAAGUGUUUGGGUAGCCAAAACUUUGGAAAUCAACCAAGCAGCAGCCAAAGUCAUGGCCAUGUCAAAUUUUUGGUUGCAUGAAAUACCAUAAAUAAUUUUACCAUUAAGAAGCAACCCUUUAGUCUCGCAAAUCUGUAGUGAAAAUUUCACGAGGUCCGUGUUACUAACUUCUCCCUCCGUAAAGUAAUGACUAUUAUUACUCAGUAUAUUAUUCAAAGCUAGCUCCAACACGUAAACCUCCUCUCGUCUUGCGAUUUUUUGUCUGUAAUCUUUCAUAACUUCACAUUUGUGGAGACAACAACAAUUGGUUCACUCAUUGUUUUGUAAUUCUGUUGGCCACUUCUGGUUUCUUUUGCACUUGGGGCCUCUUAGUAUUAACUAAAUAGUGUUUGUUCCAUAUAAUAUUUAUACCGACCAAUCCAGCAUUUGAUAUAUUCUCCGCAUAUUGUAGAAAUAGAUGGGGUGUAACAAUGGGCGCCACUGAACCUUUUGUAGUCCUUUGAUCGCACUAAGCGACUUCGACCAUCGCGUCUAUUGUUGGUCGUUUUUUCGUCAGACCACCAUCAUUAUAGUGUCAAAAUGGACGGACGCGGCAAGGCGCGUCAUCAAUGAUCUAGUGAACCAUAACUACUAGGCUAUCCAAGCACAUUUACAUCACAUAUAGGUGAAAGUUCUGGCUAGCUUUAAACAUACAUAUAUAACCAACGAAAUCAACUAAAGUGAACCUGAAAUAUUGUACGAAGAUAGAUGGAGCUCCAAAACAAAACAUGAUGCAAGAUUUAAAUAAACUGAUUGGGAUUACCGAUGUCCAUACAUACAAAUCAAUUUAAAUACACAUAAUCUGUUCCAUGGGGGGAUGCUGCCCUGCUCCAGAUCUUAUGUUAUACUUCCUCUGUCAGGAAUUAGAUGCUGAAAUAGAUGUAUCCAAAACAAAACCAGCUGGCCCGAACCUGGAAAGGGUGUGUGUGGGGUGGGGGGGUGGGGGGGCAUACCUGGCCAAACGGGGUGUGUUGAUGUAGUUAAACGUCUUCACGAUCCAAUCACGAUCCGUCAUGCGAUCCAUCAGGAGCCUUCCCGAUCUAGCGCCGAACGGACACCUCCGCGUUUAGCACACGUACAACUCGAUGACGUCUCCGCCUUCUUGAUCCAGCAAGCGAGGGCGGUGAGGUAGAUGUGUUCUUCGGCAGCACGACUGCGCGGCGACGAUGAUGGUGGAGUUGUCCCGGCAGGGCUUCGCCAAGCACUACUGCGACGAACUAGAGGAAAGGCUGAUCCAGAGGGAGAGGGAGAGGAUGCGUCGUGGCUUGUGUGUUGAAGCCCUCCCUCUCCUCUCUUAUAUAUAGGGGGAGGGUGGAGAGGUGGUCGGCCUAGGGUUUCCCCUAGGAGGGGCGACGACCAAGGGGCACCUCCGCGUUCAGCACACGUAUAGCUCGAGGACGACCCUCGCCUUCUCGAUCCAGCAAGAGAGACGGGGAAGUAGAUGAGUUCUCCGACAGCGUGACAGCGCACUGGUGAUGGUGGUGAUCUAUUUGUGCAGGGCUUCGCCUAAGCACCGCAGAAAUCCGAUCUAGAGGAAGAACUACAAACUAGAGGAGAGGGUAUCACGUGGCUGAAAUUGUGUGUCUUAAAAAACCCUCAAUACCUCUAGUAUAUAUAGGAGGGAUGGAGGGGAGGAGGCAGCCUCAAACCCUCAAGGUUUGGCCGAAAUUGGAGGUGGAGGAGUCCUACUCCAAUCCUACUAGGAGUAGGAUUCCUCCUUUCCACUUGGAAACCCUUUCCACCUUUGGGUUUUUGCCUCUCAAACCUCAUGGGACUUAGUGGGUGCUUAUGUCAUCCCACUAGGGGUUGGAUUGUAUCCUCCCACAUCCCAUAAGCCCCCUCGGGGCGUGACACCCCUCCCGAUGGUCCCCGGUACCCUCCCGGUACUCCCGGUACACUACCGAUGAGCCCGAAACUUUUCCGGUGACCAAAACAGGACUUCCUAUAUAUCAGUCUUUAGCUCCGGACCAUUCGGGAGCUCCUUGUGACGUUCGUAUUCUCAUCCCGGACUCCGAACAACUUUCGGUUACCAACACCUAUAACUUCACUAUACCGAAACGUCACCAAACCUUAAGUGUGCAGACCCUGCGGGUUCGAGACCUAUGCAGACAUGACCUGAGACAUUCUCCGGUUAAUAACCAAUAGCGGGACCUGGAUGUCCAUACUGGCUCCUACAUAUUCUACUAAGAUCUCUAUCGGUUAAACCUCUAUGUCAAGGAUUCAGUUAAUCCCGUAUGUUGUUCCCUUUGUCCUUCGGUAUGUUACUUGCCCGAGAUUCGAUCGUCGGUAUCUUCAUACCUAGUUCAAUCUCGUUACACGCAAGUCUCUUUACUCGUUUCGUAAUACAAAAUCCCGUAACUAACUCCUUAGUCACAUUGCUUGCAAGGCUUGUUGUGAUGUUGUAUUACCGAAUGGGCCCUGAGAUACCUCUCCGUCACACGGAGUGACAUAUCUCAGUUUUGAUCCAUCCCAACCCAACAGACACCUUUGGAGAUACCUGUACAACACCUUUAUAGUCACCCAGUAACGUUGCGACGUUUGAUACUCACAAGGUAUUCCUCUGGUGUCCGGAAGUUGCAUGAUCUCAUGGUCAUAGGAACAGAUACAUUGACAUGCAGAAAAACAGUAGCAAUAAACUGACACGAUCAUAUGCUACGUUUAUAGUUUGGGUCUUGCCCAUCACAUCAUUCUUCUAAUUAUGUGAUCCUGUUAUCAAGUGACAACAUUUGUCUAUGACCAGGAAACCUUUACCAUCUUUGAUCAACGAGCUAGUCAACUAGAGACUCACUAGGGACAAUGUGUUGUUUAUGUAUCCACACAUGCAUUUGAGUUUUCAAUCAAUACAAUUCUAGCAUGGAUAAUAAACGAUUAUCAUGAACAAGGAAAUAUAAUAAUAACCAAUUUAUUAUUGCCUCUAGGACAUAUUUCAACAAUUAAAUCUAAUAAAAAGAAAGUAUAAACUUAAAAUCAAUAAAAAUGUCUAAACAUAGAAUAAAUGCAUUGCUGAGUGGAAUGUUGAGGUGUACACUGUGUAUGUUGAGAGUGCUUAUGCGGCAGAUUUUGCAUGGCUUAGUGUGAGAGAAGAUUUAAAUGCAUUGCGUGCUGCCAAGUUCUUUCCUUUUCAAGUUCACUAAUUUAAAAGAAUGAUAUAUAUUAUUAUUAUCUGAUGCCCUUUUUAUCUGAAUCUUAGUCUUAACCCAUCGAACGAUUAUUUAAUAUACUCUGAACUUCCAAGUACUCCGUGUUCGUCCAUAGUCCAGUCCACCGUCAUCUCAUGCACAUAGUGCCCACCUAGAUUGCAUGUAGUCGCCAUGUCCAAGCACAUACUCCGCCAACCCAAUGCACUAAGUCGCCCAUGACAAAUCACCAAACGGAGUGGCUAGAACCUUUCACCAUCCAUUGCCUAAAUCAGAUGGCUUUUCUUUGUCUGAAUCUUAGUCUGAGCCCAUUCAAGGACAGUUCAACAUACUCUGUACUAGGCAGGUACUCCAUGUCCAUCCACUGCCAUCUCAUUUUGGAUCUACAUUUUUUCUUUCAUUGGAGGCAUUUUCUUGGAUAAUGCGCAUGCAUCUUCAACGUUGGUUCAGACAUUACUGUACGCAUCUCUGGAUAUAUGCGGACAUUUUUCAACUGUAAAUCCAUACCAUUAUUUCUUGGCAUUUUUGGAUACAUGUAAGCAUCUUUGUUGUAGAAUAAACAGGGCGACAAAAGAAAAGAGCAAGGCAAAACUAUAUAAUUUUAUUGUCAUAAAGAAAUAGUAGUGUGUAGUUGCGAUGCAGAAAAUUCAGUUGCUGGUCAUAUUUUUAUACACACAUAGCAUACUACUAAUUAACUAAUAAUCACAUAGUUCCCUCGUGUAUGCAGGAAAAACACCUUCUGGUUCCGGGACUAUUAUAGACGUCGAGGCUCAAGUCACAAACAUCGAGUGAUACUAGACAAAUUCCUAUGCGUUGCUACAGAAAUUGUUGGCAAUAUGUUUAGAUGAUAUUUGAUUACGUGAAACAUGAAUAUUAUAAUUAAAAAUAUGAGUAUGAAAUAAAAAAUAUAUGAUAUCUAUUAUACUUGAUUCAUUUAUUAUUGCAAAAUAGUUUUAGAAUAUAAGUAUCAUAUUGUGAGUUUAAAAUUCCUUAGAGUUGUCCACGCGGGUGCCUUCUUCACUAAGGAAAAGUUGGACAUGAGUAAUGAGGAUGACUCUCAAUCUCCCCAUGCGUUGAUACGGUAACUUUGUUAAAAUAUGCGUAAGUAGUUGCUAAGUCUAAUGAAAAGAAAGUAUAAAAUUAAAAAUAAUAAGAAUGUCUGAACAUAGAAUAACUACUUUUGAAUUACAGUUAAUAAUGUCAUUUCAAACAGAAUGUGAAUGAUGACUAACCUUAAUCUUCAUGAUGUGGCAGUGUUACAUGCAUAGACUAAUGCAAAAGUAAUUAUGAUUUAUAAGUUAAAUGCAUGACUCGUUUAUGUGAUAGAUUUUGCAUGGCUUAAUGGGAGAGAAGACUUAAAUGCAUUGUUUAGUGGGACGCUGAGGUGAACACUUUGUAUGUUGAGAGUGUUUAUGUGGCAAAUUUUGCGGGGCUUAUUGUGAGAGAAGUAUUAAAUGCAUUGCCUAGUGGAAUAUUGUGGUGGACACUUUGCAUGUUGAGAGAAUUGAGACCAACUUCUUAAAAAAUGUAAAAUUUCGUGAGGGGUGUGUGAAUAACUCAGCCUUGUCGGUAUCAAUUUUGCAACUCCAAUGCUUCCGUGUUCAAAUGUUGUAUUAUCAGAGCAUCUUCAACACACACGCGGUAGCGCGGCGCGCUAAAUUCUUUUUUGCAACGUGGAAAUAGACUUUUAAAGCGCUAGGCUGGUGUUUUGCUUUACCAUAAGCGCUAUAAUAUUGUGCUCCGCAGGUAGCGCUCCAGCAGUGACGCUAAAUUCUAGCUCGUGCGCCUAGCACAAUCAACAUUUCCUACUCAAACAUAGAAUCAAGAAGAUCAAACACACACAAAGUAAAUUAAUAAUAAAUUGUUCAAUUAUUAUUACAACUUAAACAAAUUUUUUAUCUUCAAUACAAAAAAUAGUUCAUGAAUAAUACAACAAAUAGUUCAUGAAUAAUACAACAAAUAGUUCAUACAAUGUUAAAUUAAUUUUGUUGUCCAUUCCAUGACCAUCACUCCUUGACAAAAUCCUUUUGAAGCUCAUCAUGCGCUUUGCCACGUCGAAUGACAUGAUAGGAGGCAACAAAGCGGGCCGCCCUUGCGGUCCUUAUCCACACUCGUGUGGGUUGUCGCAUCAACUGAUACUGAGAAUAGUCUGAAUCUUGCCCACGCUCACUGUUGAUGAUCAUGUUAUGCAUGAUCACGCAAGCUUUCUUUAUGUAUCGAAGGAUCUUUUGAUCCCAAAAUCUGGCCAAUCCCCUCACAACAGAAAAUUGAGCUUGCAAAAUCUCAAAAGCUCUCUUCACAUCUUUCCUAGACGCCGCUUGAGCAUCGUGAAAAUCAAGUUUUUUCUUAACUUGCAGUGCCUUCAACGGCUUCACAAAUGCUUGCCACCGUGGAUAGAUGUCAUCCGUAAGAUAUUAUCCAUAGUUGUGUGUAUGGCCAUUUGCUACAAACUCCACCGGUUGAGUUUCACCAGUUGCAAUCCUAUUCAUGAGUGGUGACCUUUGAAUAACAUUGAUGUCAUUGCAAGAUCCGGGCAUUCCCAAAAAAGCAUGCCAAAAUCAAGUCUCAUGAUCGGUCACCGCUUCAAGGAUUAUAGUGAAACCCUUUUUCUGACCGUGGAAUUUUUCAUGCCAUGCCGUAGGAUAGUUCUUCCAACUCCAACGCAUGCAAUGUAUUAUGGCAAGCAUACUUGGGACCCGCGAGCUUUGCUGAACUCCAAAAGCCUUGCGGUGUCUACAACAUUGGGAGCUUUCAAAUAUUCUGGACCAAACCCUUGUACAAUUCCAACUGCGAAGUGCUUGACACACAUGAUGGCUUCACUCUCACCCAAGGUCAAGUGGUCAUCAACUAGAUUCAUCGGAAUACCGUAUGACAACAUACGCAAAGUGGCGAUCACCUUUGGAAAGGUUCUAUGCCCGAAUUUGCCGGCGGCAUUCCUCCUUUGCUAAAAAAACGAUCAUGCCUCGCCAGUUUCUGUGCAGUGUAUUUGAACAACUCGAUGCUCAUCCUAAAACGACGUCAAAAGUAGAAUGUGGGGUUUGUUGGAUUCUCCACAAAAUAGUUUAUCACCAAUCUAUUGUGGGCAUCGACCCUUUCCCUCCAUAUUUCUGACGAGCGAAAACCGAACCACGGUGCUUCAGCUCUAACUUAAAACUAGAAAUAACCGCUAGUGGAAAACGGGCCUUUAGCCCCGGUUCCAAAGGGCCUUUAGUCACGGUUUUCCAACCGGGACCAAACAAUCGACACAAAAGGUCAAAACUUUUAGUCCCGUUUUUUGAGUUUUUUCUGAUAACUUAAUCCCUAAUCUCCCCUACUCAGUAGUCGAACAUGAAACACUCAUUUCAAAUCAUCUAACUUCCCUGUAAGUCACUCACUCCACUCAUUUCAAACCGUUUAACUUCCCGGCCGGUCACCCAUCCUCUCAUUGCUCCAACCCAAGUACGCUUAACUUUUCGGUUCUAUCUUCACUAGUUUCCAAGUGUGUACUUGUUGUUUUAUUGACAAUAGUAAGCUAUCAAUCUUAUUAACCCUUAGGUCUUGAUGUCACAUGAUUUAAUUUUUUGAGUCCAAACAAUUAUUAAAACAAACAACAAUGAUUAACAAACAAUAAUAAUUAAUUUAAAAACUAAAAAAACUUCAAAAAGGUAAAAAUUUCAAAAGAAAAACUCAAAUAAUUCUCAAAAAGCACAAAAAACAAAAUAUCAAAAUAAUAAAAAAAUCAAAAAAAUAAGCAAUAGUAAUAUUGAAUUUCAAUGAAAAUAAAAUCAUUUAUUCAUUUUUUGCCAUUUAUUCAUUUAAUAUGGCAUAAUUGAUAUCUUUAAAUCUAUAAAUCGAAAUUCAACAAAUAAUAUAUCCAUUAUCAUCAGAAAAAUGUGAGGAAUACAAAUAUGACAUUAUUUAUUUAAAAGGGUAAAAUUGACAUCAUUUAUUUUUUUAAAGUAAAAUAUGACAUCAUUUAUUUAAAAAGGUAAAUGACCAUGAAAUUGAAAAAACUACAAAUGAACUCUGAAAAGGCUGAAACUUGGCAAGAUAUCAUCAUUUCAUCCACAUAGCAUGUGCUAAAAACUUGACAUGGUAUCAGCAUUUCAUCCACAUAACAUGUGCUAACUUCGUGUACAAAGUGGACAAUCUCUUUCGAAGUAUGACAGUUUCACACGAAAAACUUAGGUUUUACAAAGAUAUUUCUUUUUUUAACUUAUUUUAACACCAUACUUUUUGUGAUUUCAAUAUGCACAAUUGAAAGUCACGUCAUCAAUUUUCAACCCUUUAUGACUUUAUUUGAAUAUUUCAUGCAUUUAAUUAAUUUUUUCAGCUAAAUGACCGUGACAUUGAAAAACACUACAAAUGAACUCUGUAAAGGCUGAAACUUGACAUGGUAUCAUUAUUUCACCCACAUAACAUGUGCUAAAAAGUUGAGAGGGUUACGACAAAAAAAUGGAUGCACUUCGUGUACAAACUGGACAAUCUAUUCAGAAAUAUCACGGUUUCGGAUGAAUACACAUCUCUUACAAAGGCAUUUCAUUUUUCAAACUUAUUUGAAUUCCAGACUUUUUGUGAGUUCAAUAUUCACAAUUCAAAGACACGUCAUCAAUUUUCAACACUUUCUCACUUCAUUUGUUAUUUUUCAUGCAUUUAAUGAUUUUUUUGAGCUAUAAAACUAAAAGAGUAAACAAAAUCUUAUUUUGAUUAAAACACACAUUUGAAAUAUCCUAAAAAUUACCAAAUUUUAUAUAAUGACAAAACACACUAGUAUUAAAUAGCAAGAAAAAGAAUCACUCAAAAAUCCAUUUUAAAGUAGAGUUAUUCACAAAGUAGUGAUUCACACAAAUUUCAAAGAAUUCAAAUUUAAACUAUUCAAAUUUGAAAACUACUAACAUUAGCAGAAAGUUUAUAACUUUUGUGACCUAAAGCAGAAAAGAUACAUUCAAAAACUAUAAAUAUUCUAAUAGUUAUUUCAAAUCUAAAAACAGAAACUAUCGUGUUUAGAAAAACAAAACAAGCCAAAAAAAGAAAAUAGACCUUUAGUCCCGGUUUUUGGCUCCAACCGAGACUAAAGGGAGGACCAUUAGUCCCGGUUGCAGACACCAACCAGGACUAAAGGUGGUAAACCCCUUUUGUCCCGGUUGGUGUGUGCAACCGGGACUAAAGGUCUCAUUCGAACCAGGACUAAUGUCUACCAAGCUCCGUCUAGCAUUCUGACCGCUCGAACCGAGAUUGAUGCACGUAUUAGUCUAUGUUCGUAAGUCGAUCGUGACUCAUACUCUUAUCAGGCCAGGACCAAAGCCGUGUUUCCUACUAGUGAACAUGCACCAAAUUCAUCUAUAAAUAUAAAAUUUAAAGCAAUAUAUACCUUGCAAGUAUUUUGUCAAACACCUUGUGGGCGCCGAGCUGCAAACAAUCGUCGCACGUUGUUCGUCAAAGGAACGGUGCGCUCAAGGGGUGACGGUUAGGAGAGAAGGUUGAGGAAGCAUCAGUGGCCAUCGGGAGAAGCAGGAGGAGCGACGACGUGCUAGGGAGAGGCGGCAGAAGCGCCGACGACACGUACACGCGGAGGCGCCAGCGCCAGGAGAUUUUAGAUCCGUGGUGAUUCACGUGCAUGAUUCGCUUGUCCAGCGUGCUGGAGCGGAUACAUCAAAUAAACUACGUGCAAUGCAACUUUUCUCAGUGUGCUGACGUUUGUUUACUGUAUGCGGGGUUAUAACAUGGCUACUGAAACACUACUUUUAACAACGUGCCCUAUAUAAUCGUUUUUCUGAGCGCGCUGCUUAUUUAGUACAUCUGUUGAAGAUGCUUUAAGCUUGUAGCACUUAGGAUAUGAGAUUGAGGUCUAGUGUCAAGCGAGUUCUCGAGCUUUAGACGUGAGAGACCCUGACCGCUUCUUCUAGCAAAUAGAUUUGUGACAGAUUAACAGAUGUGUGUGAAUAUUUUACAUUGCUCUACUUAAACAAGUCCAGGGAUGCGUGAAUAUUUACAUUGCUCUACUUAAACAAGUCCAGGGAUGCAUAUAGGUUUGUGUAUGUUUUCAUAAAAUAAAGUUUGUGUUGCUUUCAUCCUAAAAUAAGUAUCUUAAGUUUAGUAUAAUUUUAUCAAAAAAAUAACGUUUACAUGUAUGGGCGUUUGCAAACCACCCACACGUAUGGAUUGUCGUUCGUUUGUGGUUUGCACGAAUCUUGGCAAGUUUUGCCAAAAUUUCUAUGCCACGUAGGACUGGGAUCGUGUGUGGGCAUUUCAUCCGGUCGCCCACACGUUCGUUCACGCACGUAGAAUGGCUGGUGUGUGGGCGUUUAUCAAUUCGACCACACGUUUGUUUCAUACACGCAGAUGAGCUGGUGUGUGAGCGUUUAUCAGUUCGCCCACACGCCUGUUUCACCUCCACUUGCCCGCAUGAUCGCCACCCGUCUCCUCUCCCACACCCCCAAACUGUCGGUUGCCAUGUUUUUUUGUAGUGGUACAUGGCAACUGUCUAGUGUGCUUGUAAGCAGAUGACAACCCUCUCUCUCUUAACUGAAUAUGUUAUUUUUGUAACUACCUAGUGUGCUUAGAAGCAUAUGGCAACUCCAAGAUAUUAUUUUUGCCUUGUCUAUCAAGUGUUAUAUGACAACUGUUUAGUGUUAGUAGGUGGCAACUCCUAAAGUUUUCAUAUCAUGGCAACUAUAGUAGACCAGGCCAUACAUGGCAACAGCCGGAGUUGUUCAUAAAUGACAAGUGGACUUGACCUGAGAUGACAACUGCAGUAAACCAGGCCAUACAUGGCAACAACUACAUUUGACCUGAGAUGGCAAUUGCAGUUUGCUCAGACAUAGCGACUGUAGCUGAACAACCAUGGCAACUGCAGUUCAGCAACCAUGGCAAUUGUAGUUAAACAAACAUGAAAGAGGGGCCAAACGGGUUCGGAGGUGAGGGCGCGUGUUGGCUGUUACACGGGCAUGCGGGACCAUGGGGUAGGAGACCGGACGUGCGGACGUUACCUGUUUUGCCCACACGUAGGCGUUUGGACGGGACCGCGAGACAUGAGGCCGGACGUGUGGGCAUGAUUUGUUUGACCCACAUGUAGGCGUGUGAGCUGGUUUUCUUAGAUACCACACGAGACGUAUGACAAGACUCUUAACGUCCGCACGUGUGGGCGUUAUCAUGACCCUAAUUUUAUAUUAAAGUUAGUACAAAGACAAUUAUUUUAGUACGGAGGUAGUAUAUUGCAAACUGUGAACAUGAUGGUCGAUUACUGAACUUUGGGUUUAUUCAUCCACACAGAGCUACUUCAUUUUUGCUUGUGUGUAAAACUUAAAACUGCAAUAAUACUCUAUGCCAUGCAUCAUCAUCACAUGACAUCACAAAAAGGAAAAUAAUAAUAAUAGUCCAACAUGCAUUGAUUAAACUCAAGAAUUUCAUUCCAGAACGAGCAGAAUUCAUGAAUCUGAAUAAUGCUGCCCUUCAAACAGAAGGAUGCCCUCGAGACGUUGGGUUGCAAUGCAAGAGUCUAGACUUUGUCGUCCGGAGCAGACAGCUUGCGCCUGCAGAGAGGGCACAUCUCGCUCCCCUUGAGGGUGUCCGCCAGGCAUGCGCCAUGGAAGACGUGGGGCAGGGAGCACCCGGGCCACACGGCGAGGUCGCUUUCCAGCAGCUCGAAGCAAACGGAGCACUCCUGCCCGGCGACCUCCUCCGCCACGACCUUCCUCCGCUUUGCCGGCCGCCCGCAGUCGCCGUCGGCGGCUUCAGCUUCUGCCGCGCACUGCGCGUGCACGGGCUCCGGCAGGCUCAGCUCCAUGGCGACGUGGUACCCGGGCCAUGGAUCCGCUAUCAUUCCCUGCAGCGCGUCCAUCACGACAUCCAUGCGACCCGGCGUGUAGUCCUCGAGCCGGAGGAUGCCGACGUCGGCGAUCACCUUGAGACGCGUGGUCCCCGGCGGGAUGCACACGGCCACGUUUGAGACCAGCUUGGACCACAGGGCCUGGAGCUCGCUGCUGUGGUGGGAGGGGUAUAUGAGCGGCGCCAGCGACGCCCCUGCCCACUGGAGCGAGCCCGCCGCGUCGCCGGCCGGCGGGACGGCGAACCGGAGAUAGUGCAGUUUCGUCUUCUUGGACACCUCCAGCCCCAGGUCGCCGGGCGCCGCCUCAAACUCGGUAUACCGGUAGAGGACCAAGAUCUCCUUGCCACCUGCUUGUCCUUGGCUACUGGCAGCCGGGAGAUCAGCCGGCGGCGGCACCACGACGGCGACGCCCAGGAAGCCGGCCGUGUUCCCCGCGGAGGCGAACCGCGGUGCCGGCCCAAGGAAUCGGCCUUCGGGUACGUACAGCCACCGGUGUAGUGGCGGCCCGCCCGUGACGCCGCUCGCCCCGGUCGCGACGACUGCAUCGAUCUUGAGCGGGACGUCGACCUCGUCGUCGCUGUCCUCCUCAUAGUAGCUUUCAUCAUCGCUCUCAAACAACUCCUCGUCCUCCUCCUUGUCGCCCGCCAAAGCCAAAGGCGACGGGAGCGCGAGGACAGCCGCGCGGGCGGAGUCGUCCGGCUGCAUCAUCAUCAGCGAAACCCUCUCGUCCAUUGACCGAUCAGCAGAUGCGCGAUGGAUGGGAGCUUCUAGUAGUUGAAGGCGGAGUUGGUUCCCGAUCGACGGCAAGGGAUGAGAGGAUGGAACGUGUUGGCUUCAAACCCAUCUUUUAUUGACUGACUCGCGCCCAAUCCGAAACCGGCUCCAAGCAGGAGAAUGUUCGCGUUCCGUUUCAAAACAGGAAAGAAACGCCCGUCGGAAAGCAAUUUGCUUUUCAAUCAUUCAGAAAAAGAAGGAAACCAGGGAGGGGAGAAAUCUUAAAAGUGCAAGAAACGACGAAAGCAAUUUGCUUUUCAAUCAUUCAGAAAAAGAAAGAAACCAGGGAGGGGAGAAAUCUUAAAAGUGCAAGAAACGAGAGAUAAAAAAAAUUCGCCGUUGCCGGGGAUCGAACCCGGGUCACCCGCGUGACAGGCGGGAAUACUUACCACUAUACUACAACGACUUUGUUGUUCGCGAAUUCCUUAGGGACUACAGGCAGAACAUAAGACAGCAUAGUCAAUGUGUUUGCAGUUCUUGUGGUGCUUCCAGCCGAUUGCUUCCUUCCCGCUCCCGGCUCAACAGUCACCCGGAAGACAUGGCGUCAGAGAGGAAGAGAAUUCCAGAUACACUGGUGUAUAAUAACAUGCUUUUGGAAACAAAACCGAAGAUUAUUGCCAGGCUUUGUUGAAAGAGAAGGAACCAGGACAUGCAACACAAAGUAAAAUUGCACCCUCCGACCAGAAGGAGCUAAAGAUCAAUACUGAGUAAUUUCAGCGGCUGUAGUAAUGUGUUUCUACAAUUCUAUUUCUCUGUUCCCAAUCCAGUAAAGCCUCCGUUGCGGUGACUUUUGUUAACAGUGUUGGUUGCAACUUGCCACGAGAAUCAUGACAAGAUAGACAGGGCUGGUCCUGAGAUUUCAGGGGCCGAGGGUGAAACUAAAUCUAGGGUCCUUUUUUACUAAAGACCUAAACAUAAAGACAAAUAAGUAUAGCAAAAAAUAUUUUGAAUCGCUAAUAAAAGAAAAUAGAACAAUUUUCACUUAUAAGUCUCUCUUUACUAAUGCAUUCGGUAGCUUUACUGUUAAAUUUAUUUCCUGGUUUAUUUAUCCUAAUCAGAUACAGUGAAAACUCGCACACGGUCAAGACUAAUGGAUGAUUUUGCUCGCAAAAAAAAGAGACUAAUGGAUGAUUUAAGGAAAAAGUCAAUUUUGAACCCUGAACUGGUAGAUGUCUGCCGAAAUUAACCCCCAAAUACAAAUCCCUGUCGAUUGCACCCUCAAGUAACAAAUCCCGGUCUAAAUUGAACCUUUGUGUGCUUUGUCAAACGGGGAUUGGUCAUGUGGCCAGGAAUGCUUGCGUUGGCGACGGGCUGGACCGUAAAGAGCACAGCUGGACUGGGUCGGCCCACUAAUUCUGGUCUGGGAGGGUGUUGGACAGGCCCGCGAGGUUGAAGAGCCCUCCACAACUCCACCUCCUCCAUGCCUUCCCCUCUUCCACCUCUCUCACGCGGCAGCAAUGGCGACCGGCGGGUGAUCGGUUGUACGGCGACGAUCGUGACGGCGCGGUAGCGCAAACAAGUGGAGGUAAACACCCCGAUGCCCUCCUCCUCCGAUACUCAUAGUUUAGGCUCUCAUUGCGGCAAUUUUGUUAGGGUUUACACAGGUUUUGGGGUAGGGUUUUUUUCGGGCAAACAAGUUGCGAUUUUUUCGAUUUAGCCGUAGAUUUCGAUGUUGAAAUGUACAUAUAGGUUAAUUUUUGCUCCUACUAUUUGUCUACUGCAGUGAUAGCAUGGAUCCCACCGAGAUUUUGCAUGUCUGUUUCCAUCUGGGUGGGGAAUUCAUUCGUACUAGCCCCAAUCUGCAAUAUGAUGGAGGAGAUGAAGCUAUGUCACACAUAGAAAGGGACAAAUUAUCUCUGCAGGAAGUAAAGGGCUUUUUGAAGGAUCACAUUGCACUGAAGGAGUCUAUGAAGUUUUAUUUCUUAAUUCCUGGUCAAGAACUUGUGAAUGGCUUGAUGUUUCUGGAUGAUGACAAUAAAUGUCUUAAGAUGGUAGAUUAUGUAGAUGUUGGUGCUAUUGCAGAUGUCUAUGUAGAGUACCAUGGAGAAGAAGAUAGUGCUGAGAGUAGCACUACGAGUGACUUUGAGGAUGAGAUAGUUUCUUGGACAGAUUUUGAACCUGAUGUUGUGAUCAGAGCUGCAGAGCCUGCUAAAUCUGACACUGAUGUGCUUAUCACUGAUGCAACAUGUGUGGUCAGACAAGUUAUUAGCAGUCCUCAGAAGCACAGAAGCACUGGAAGGCAUGACAAUGUGACUGAACCUCCAAAUGUUAGUGAAGGACCAUUUUCUCAAGUGCUUGAUCCAACUCAACACACACUUGCUGCAGCAGGGAAUGAUGUUGUUGAUUCUGAUUCUGAUUCAGACAGUGACUUUGUGUACAUUCCACAUAGUGAUGACAGUGGAGAAGAUUCAGAGGUUGUGGAGCUAAGGAGACAUGCUAGGAAGUUCAAGAAAAAAAUGAGAGAUAGCAAGAGUUGGAUUGGAAGUGAUGCAACAGGUCCAGUACCAAUUGAUCUUAUUGCCAACAUGGAGCAACAAAUAGCAACAGAACAAGAUGACUGGAAGUAUGAUUCUUCUGAUGAGGAAUAUAGUUAUGAUGAAGAUUCAGAUGGGGUGUUAGUGAAGAGAAAGAGCCAGUUCAUCAGGUAUAAUAAUGACACUGAGAUACCCCACUUUGAAUUGAACAUGGUUUUCAGAACCAAGAACCAGUUUUGCAAAGCUUUGAGAAGGUAUGGUCUAGUUACUAAGAGGAGUAUCAGGUUCUUGAAAUCAGAAAGUGACAGGGUUAGGGCCAAGUGUGGAUGGGAUGGUUGCCCUUGGCUCAUCUAUGCAGCUAAGAGGUCAAGAACAUCUAGAUUCCAAGUGAUCACAUUUAAUGAUCAUCAUGAAUGUGCAUAGAACAGAUGCAACAAGCUUGUGACUGCUAAAUUGAUUGCACAGAGGUAUGAGCACUUCAUACUAGCUAAUCCUAUGUGGAAAAUUGAAAGCAUGAAUGCCACAGUGCUGAAAGACAUGUUUGUUGAUGUUUCAACCUCAAAGUGCAAGCAUGCAUAGGCAAUUGUGAUGGAGAGAUUGAUGAGUGGUAUGAAGAAUGAAUAUACCAGGGUGUUUGAUUAUCAAUUGGAGCUGCUUAGGAGCAAUCGAGGAAGCAUUGUUGACUGUGUGCCUUGAUCCUUCAAACAUGGACCAAAAUAUAUUUCAGAGUUUCUAUGUUUGUUUCAAUGCAAUGAAGCAAGGAUUCAAGGCUGGAUGCAGGAAACUGAUAGGUCUAGAUGGAUGAUUCUUCAACGGGGAGUGAAGGGUGGGUUAUUGUGUGCCAUAGGGAGGGAUGCUAACAAUCAGAUGUAUCCACUUGCUUGGGCUGCAGUUGAGCAGGAAACCAAUGAAACUUGGAAGUGGUUUAUUGGUUUACUCAUAAAGGAUCUUGACAUCAACAACAAUGGAGAAGGGUGGGUAUUUAUCUCUGACCAACAGAAGGUCCUAAUCAAUGCCAUGAAGGACUAUCUUCCAGCUGCAGAGCACAUAAUGUGUGCUAGACACAUAUAUGCUAACUAGAGGAAGAAGCACAGAGCUCAUGAUUGGCAGAAAAAAUUCUGGGAUGUUGCCAAAGCAUCCAAUCAGCAAGAUUUCAACUAUUACAAGGCCAAGCUUGCACAAGAGACACCUGAAGGAGCUCAAGACAUGACGAAGACACAACCAGUGCAUUGGGCUAGGGCUUUUUUCCAGUGGGAACAAAUUGUGAGUUAGUUGACAAUAAUCUAUGUGGGUCAUUUAACCAUGCAAUUGUUGAUGCUAGGUUCUAUCCACUCAUUUCCAUGCUAGAGAAGAUCAGGAAAAAUAUAUUUGUGAGAAUUCAAGAGCAGAAGGAGAAGGGUGAGAAAAUGACAGGGACAAUAUGCCCUGGUAUCUUUAAGAAGCUCAAAAAUCUAUUGCUUGGACACAAUAUCUUGAAGUGAUUUGGAAUGGAGAAAAUGGGUAUGAAGUGAAGCAUAUCAAUGGAAGGGGAAGGCAGUACAUUGUUGAUAUUCAAGCAAGGACAUGCUCUUGUGGGUAAUUCCAGUUGUCUGGUCUCCCCUGCCACCAUGCCAUUUCUGCUAUCUACAAGUGUAAGAAGACAAUUGAUGAGUAUAUUCAUCCUUGCUACUCAGUUGAGGUUUUCAAGAAAAUAUAUGGUCCUUGCUUGCAACCAGUGGAAGGGGAGGAGAUGUGGCCUGUAUAUCAGAAUCCUAGGCCUCAAGCUCCUAGUUAUGUGAGAAUGCCUGGAAGGCCUAAAAAAUGACAAGAGAAGAGAAGAAACAUAAGCUCCUAAGGCAAAAAAAUGAGCAAACAUGGAACCAUAAUUAAAUGUUCUAUGUGUGGAGAAGCUGGACACAACAAGUCAGGUUGCAAGAAGAAUUCUGAGAGAGGAAAGAAGAAGAAUGCACAUCUCACCAAAACUAGCAAGAAAAAGAGCACAAUUGAGGUAUAUAUGAAUUUAAAUGCUUGCACAUGCUCUUACAUGAAUUUAAAUGCUUCUAGUCAAUUAUAUGCUUGCAUAUGCUUUUACAUUAUUUUAAAUGCCUGACUAUUUUCCGUCUUUAUCAAAUACCAGCAAGCAUCUGGUUCUGGCUCUGCAUCUCAACCACAACCACAACCAGCAAGUACUAACAGUGCACCUGCUCAACAAGCAGCAGCUAGAACCGGUGCACCUGCUCAACAAGCAGCAGCUAGAACCGGUGCACCUGCUCAACAAGCAGCAGCUAGAACCGGUGCACCUGCUCAACAAGCAGCAACUAGAACCAGUGCACCUCAAGCCUCUGCACCUGGUACUAAUGCCAACAAGUUCAAUCCUCCAAGGAAGAGAGCUGCAACUACUGCAGCUGGAUCAUCUUCAGUCACAACACCUGGAGCAUCUACUUCUACAGUGAGAGGAACUGGAGCAAAGAGAGGAAGAAGGGUUGCAUCCUGAGUUCCAAGCUACAAGUACUUCACCUGCAGUGUAAACUACUAGUUAUGCCACCAGCUUGCAUGUUCUACUACUUUUGAUGAUGUUGCAGUGUUGAAAACAUUUGAAAUGUAAUAUUGCAAACAUCUACUUUUGUGAUAGCCUGAAAACAAACAUGUAUCAGGUUAUGGAUGGUAUAUGCCCUGUAAUGGAUGUUACUAUCAUGUUGCAAUGGAUGCAAUGGAUGCUAUGGAUGUUAUAUGACCUAUAUGCUAUACUGGAGUACAAUUAAGAUCUAAAAUAGAUGCUCUAUGCUAUGGAUGCUAUAAAAUAGAUGGAAUCCAAAAUGACAGGGACAAUUUAACACAAACUUGUUGCAUUGCACACACCAUAAUUAUUACAAUGAUCUAGUACUUGUCCAUAGCAAACUACAUUGAAACUGCAGUGCAACUACAUUGCUUACAAAGCCAACACUGCAUGAACAUCUUGCUUGCAACUACACCCAACACAAACACAAUGAACACAAAUACAACAUUAUCAUAUUUGGCCUUCACAGCAACCAAUUCUUCAUUCUUCUCCCUCAGUUCAUCUUGCACAGAUACAAGCAUCAUUGUUGUUUCAUCAUCAUUGGCAGUCAUAGUUGCAGUGUGAUCUUCCACCUGAGACACACUCCUCUGCCCUUUCAGCAUCCACACCUCAUCACGAAGAUCACCAAUCAGGUCACUUAGAAAUUUGGGCAGCUCAGAGUCAUGCCACUCAACAUAGCCGCAGCCACCAUGUUGUUCAAAUGCAGAGAGAAGAAACAAUCAAAACAGAGAGGAGAAGAAAUCAAACACAGAGGAGAAGAAAAUCAAACAGAGAGGAUAAGAUAUGGGGAACUCACCAGCGCAUUCAUGCAGGAGUAGUAUCUCCUUCCUGGAUUUUGAUGGCUCCACGAGAUCCAGCGCGGUGCCUUCCUCGGAGGAUCGCACCAGCACAUCUUCGCAGGCUCGUACGCCAUGGCAUCCUCGCGGUAGCGCACCGGCGAACGCGCAUCUGCCGCUCGCCUUCCUGCAUCACGACGGAAUCCUCGAGCCGACACAUCAGCACUCCACAACCACGACAUAUCCCUCUCCGGCGCUGGCGCUAGCCUCUGCCGUGGCACUAUGAUUUCUCCUCCACCCUCAUCUGAUUUCUCACCGCUCGAUGAACCCUAGCUUUGUUCCCCAAUCGACUGGAUAUUUCUGUUGGAGUAGGUGCGGUGCAGUUAAGAAAUGGUCCCACCCGUCAAAAUCCUGGUUGACUACGGCCGUGUCGUCAGUUAUUAGCAUCAAACCACUCUAAGGUUAGAUUUAAAUCGGGAUUUGUUACUUCAGGGUGCAAUCGACAGGGAUUUGUACUUGGGGGUCAAUUUCGGCAGACAUGUACGAGUUCAGGGUUCAAAAUUUACCUUUUCCAUGAUUUAACUCCCAAUGAUCACUCACGCUGUCAUCCAUUUAGAUUUCAGACUAGUGUGUACCUCCAUAGCAAUUACAAGCAAGUUGCCAAACAAAAAAAUCAAAUCCAAUUUCAUCUAUCCAUUAACAAUACUCAUAAAUCGAUUAUUAGUAUCCAAUUGCAACAGCGCAGAGGCCAUGUCGAUGAUCAUUCAUACCAUCAUGAUAAAAUUUCCUACCUAGGUCUUAGACUAUCAGUACAAAUAAUGAUUAGAGACAUACCUUUGCUUCUAUAAUUGUAAUCGUACCCUAACAGUACGAUCUAGCCUCCCGGCGAGUCCGUGUUGUCUUGUGCGAGGUCGUGCUCACUAUCUCCGGCAGUCUAGCCCUCCUACGAAAUAGACCUGCUCUGACCUGAGGCGGCACCAUGCACGCAUAGUAGAUGGAUAUCAAGCUUCCCGAUCUUGAUUUAUUCUUCACGAUCACAAUUUUGAUCUAUUCUCAUUCAUGUGUGGCAUUGUCACUUUCCAUUAGUUAUGUUUUUCUAAUUUUCUCACAAAUUAGGUGCAUAACUUUAGGCAUGUGGAUUAAGGAAGGCAUUUUUUGCUACAAGAUUAAGGAAGAAAAUAAGAGCGGAUUUUUUAUCACAACUACGCUGAAUUAAUUGCAUGCACUAACUGCUCUAGUAAUCAAUCACAAGGGCCCUGAGUCGUACUACUAGCACACGAAUGAAGGAAGGUGAGAAAAAGUUGGGAAAAGAUUGCAGGAGUGGGACGCCCAUUUUCUCUUGUUGGAGUACGUAAAUCAAGGAAAAGAUUGCAUGAGUGGAUAAAUACAUCGGCAUUCUAGGCUAGGUGCUAGGCCAACUAAGAGCAGAAUUGGGGGCCCCUUGGCACAUGGGGGCCCGGGGCGGCCGCCCCGCUCGCCCCCCCUCAGGGCUGGGCCUGAAGAUAGAUGCCUCAACAUUCGAGUAAAAAGAUUUUUUAAGCUUCUAACCAAUGCCAUCCCUCUGUCCCAUGAUAAAUCGUACUGGCUAUACAUUGUGUAAAGCACAUUAAGUGAAUGAAUGAUUAAAUCCAAGUUGAGUAAAAAGAAUCGAAACUCAUGAUCUUCUUUGUUGCCAUCCGCAAUGGUCAUCUUGCCUUCAGCAGAGCAACCGUGUCAUAAAACUUGAUGACGGUUCGGUAUAGUUGAGUUAUAGGUGUUGGUGACCGAAGGUUGUUCGGAGUCCCGGAUGAGAUCCUGGACGUCACGAGGAGCUCCGGAAUGGUCCGGAGGUAAAUACUGAUACAUAGGAAGUCCUGUUUUGGUCACCGGAAAGGUUUCGGGCUCAUCGGUAGUGUACCGGGAGUGCCGGGAGGGUGCCGGUGGACCACCGGGAGGGGUGUGACGACCCAAGAGCCUUGUGGGCUGUGAGAAGAGGUGGACCAUUCCCUGGUGGUCUGGCCCAAGCCUCUCUGAAAGGCCCAUGCGGCUAGGAGAAGAGAUAAAAGGGUAAAGGACUUUUAAAAGGAAGGGAAGGAGGAGUCCUCCCAAAGUAGUCCACCUUCCCACAAGGAAGUUGGACUCUUCCUUUGGUUCGGCCGACCCCUCUCCUUGGAGGAGGGGCCAAGGAUGCCUCCUCUCCUCUCCUCCUAUAUAUACUAAAGGUUUUGAGGGUUUUUGAGACACAACAAUAAGCCAUGUUGUGCCCUCUCUCUAGAUCUGUUUCUCCUCUGGUCUAGUUUUUAGCGGUGCUUAGGCGAAGCCCUGCUGGACUAGCUCCACCACCAUCACCGUCACACCGUCGCGAUGCCAAAGAACUCAUCUACCUAUCCUCCCCCUCUUGCUGGAUCAAGAAGGCGGAAGUCAUCGUCGAGAUGUACGUGUGCUGAACGCGGAGGUGCCGUCCGUUCGGCGCUAGAUCGGACGGAUCGUGGGACGGCUGUUGGAAUUAUGCCCUAGAGGCAAUAAUAAAUGUAUAGUUAUUAUUAUAAUUCCUGUAUCAAGAUAAUAGUUUAUUAUCCAUGCUAUAAUUGUAUUGAAUGAAGACUCAUUUACAUGUGUGGAUACAUAGACAAAACACCGUCCCUAGCAUGCCUCUAGUUGGCUAGCCAGUUGAUCGAUGAUAAUCAGUGUCUUCUGAUUAUGAACAAGGUGUUGUUGCUUGAUAAACUGGAUCACGUCAUUAGGAGAAUCACGUGAUGGACUAGACCCAAACUAAUAGACGUAGCAUGUUGAUCGUGUCAUUUUGUUGCUACUGUUUUCUGCGUGUCAAGUAUUUAUUCCUAUGACCAUGAGAUCAUAUAACUCACUGACACCGGAGGAAUGCUUUGUGUGUAUCAAACGUCGCAACGUAACUGGGUGACUAUAAAGAUGCUCUACAGGUAUCUCCGAAGGUGUUAGUUGAGUUAGUAUGGAUCAAGACUGGGAUUUGUCACUCCGUGUGACGGAGAGGUAUCUCGGGGCCCACUCGGUAAUACAACAUCACACACAAGCCUUGCAAGCAAUGUAACUUAGUGUAAGUUACGGGAUCUUGUAUUACGGAACGAGUAAAGAGACUUGCCGGUAAACGAGAUUGAAAUAGGUAUGCGGAUACUGACGAUCGAAUCUCGGGCAAGUAACAUACCGAAGGACAAAGGGAAUGACAUACGGGAUUAUACGAAUCCUUGGCACUGAGGUUCAAACGAUAAGAUCUUCGUAGAAUAUGUAGGAUCCAAUAUGGGCAUCCAGGUCCCGCUAUUGGAUAUUGACCGAGGAGUCUCUCGGGUCAUGUCUGCAUAGUUCUCGAACCCGCAGGGUCUGCACACUUAAGGUUCGACGUUGUUUUAUGCGUAUUUGAGUUAUAUGGUUGGUUACCGAAUGUUGUUCGGAGUCCCGGAUGAGAUCACGGACGUCACGAGGGUUUUCGGAAUGGUCCGGAAACAAAGAUUGAUAUAUAGGAUGACCUCAUUUGAUUACCGGAAGGUUUUCGGAGUUACCGGGAAUGUACUGGGAAUGACGAAUGGGUUCCGGGAGUUCACCGGAGGGGGGCAACCCACUCCGGGGAAGCCCAUAGGCAUUUGGGGGGGGUCACACCAGCCCUUAGUGGGCUGGUGGGACAGCCCACCAAUCCCCUAUGCGCCAAGAGAGAAAAAAUCAAAGGAAAAAAAAAGGAGAAGUGGGAAAGGGGAAGGACUCCCUCCCACCAAACCAAGUAGGACUCGGUUUGGGGGGGAGAGUCCUCCACCCUGGCUCGGCCGACCCCUUGGGGAUCCCUUGGACCCCAAGGCAAGGUCCCCCUCCCUCCUCCUAUAUAUAUGGGGCUUUUAGGGCAGAUUUGAGACGACUUUCUCACGGCUGCCCGACCACAUACCUCCAUAGUUUUUCCUCUAGAUCGCGUUUCUGCGGAGCUCGGGCGGAGCCCUGCUGAGACGAGAUCAUCACCAACCUCCGGAGCACCGUCACGCUGCCGGAGAACUCUUCUACCUCUCCGUCUCUCUUGCUGGAUCAAGAAGGCCGAGAUCAUCGUCGAGCUGUACGUGUGCUGAACGCGGAGGUGCCGUCCGUUCGGUACUAGAUCGUGGGACUGAUCGCGGGAUUGUUCGCGGGGCGGAUCGAGGGACGUGAGGACGUUCCACUACAUCAACCGCGUUCUCUAACGCUUCUGCUGUACGAUCUACAAGGGUACGUAGAUCAUUCAUCCCCUCUCGUAGAUGGACAUCACCAUGAUAGGUCUUCGUGCGCGUAGGAAAAUUUUUGUUUCCCAUGCGACGUUCCCCAACAGUGGCAUCAUGAGCUAGGUUCAUGCGUAGAUGUCUUCUCGAGUAGAACACAAAAGGUUUUGUGGGCGGUGAUGUGCGUUUUGCUGCCCUCCUUAGUCUUUUCUUGAUUCCGCGGUAUUGUUGGAUUGAAGCGGCUUGGACCGACAUUACUCGUACGCUUACGAGAGACUGGUUUCAUCGUUACGAGUAACCCCCUUUGCUCAAAGAUGACUGGCAAGUGACGGUUUCUCCAACUUUAGUUGAAUCGGAUUUGACCGAGGAGGUCCUUGGAUGAGGUUAAAUAGCAACUCAUAUAUCUCCGUUGUGGUGUUUGCGUAAGUAAGAUGCGAUCCUACUAGAUACCCUUGGUCACCACGUAAAACAUGCAACAACAAAAUUAGAGGACGUCUAACUUGUUUUUGCAGGGUAUGAUUGUGAUGUGAUAUGGCCAAUGAUGUGAUGUGAUAUAUUGGAUGUAUGAGAUGAUCAUGUUGUAAUAGAAAUAUCGACUUGCACGUCGAUGGUACGGCAACCGGCAGGAGCCAUAGGGUUGUCUUUAUACUAACAUAUGUGCUUGCAGAUGCGUUUACUAUUUUGCUAGGAUGUAGCUUUAGUAGUAAUAGCAUAAGUAGCGCGACAACCCCGAUGGCAACACGUUGAUGGAUGAUCAUGGUGUGGCGCCGGUGACAAGAAGAUCGUGCCGGUGCUUUGGUGAUGGAGAUCAAGAAGCACGUGAUGAUGGCCAUAUCAUGUCACUUAUGAAUUGCAUGUGAUGUUAAUCCUUUUAUGCACCUUAUUUUGCUUAGAACGACGGUAGCAUUAUAAGGUGAUCUCUCACUAAAAUUUCAAGACGAAAUUGUGUUCUCCCCGACUGUGCACCGUUGCUACAGUUCGUCGUUUCGAGACACCACGUGAUGAUCGGGUGUGAUAGACUCAACGUUCACAUACAACGGGUGCAAAACAGUUGCGCACGCAGAACACUCGGGUUAAGCUUGACGAGCCUAGCAUGUGCAGACAUGGCCUCGGAACACAUGAGACCGAAAGGUCGAUCAUGAAUCAUAUAGCUGAUAUGAUUAGCAUAGGGAUGCUUACCACUGAAACUACUCUCGACUCACGUGAUGAUCGGACUUGGGAUAGUGUAAGUGGAUCAUGAACCACUCAAAUGACUAGAGAGAUGUACUUUUUGAGUGGGAGUUUAGCAUAUAAUUUGAUUAAGUUGAACUCUAAUUAUCUUGAACAUAGUCUAAAGUCCACUUUGAAUAUAUUUGUGUUGUAGAUCAUGGCUCACGCAAGUGUCAUCCUCAAUUUUAAUACGUUCCUAGAGAAAGCUAAGUUGAAAGAUGAUGGAAGCAACUUUGUAGACUGGGCUCGUAAUCUUAAGCUAAUCUUACAAGCUGGAAAGAAGGAUUAUGUCCUUAAUGCUGCGCUAGGAGAUGAACCACCCGCUACGGCUGAUCAGGAUGUUAAGAACGCUUGGUUAGCGCGUAAGGAGGACUACUCAAUAGUUCAAUGUGCAGUCUUGUAUGGCUUAGAACCGGGACUUCAACGUCGCUUUGAGCGUCAUGGAGCAUUUGAGAUGUUCCAGGAGUUAAAGUUUAUCUUUCAGAAGAACGCCCGGAUCGAGAGGUAUGAGACCUCCGAUAAAUUCUAUGCUUGCAAGAUGGAGGAAAACUCGUCUGUCAGUGAACAUGUGCUCAAAAUGUCUGGGUACUCAAACCGUCUAGCUGAACUGGGGAUUGAACUCCCGCAAGAAGCUAUCACUGACAGAAUCCUUCAAUCACUGCCGCCAAGCUAUAAAGGCUUUGUGUUGAACUACAACAUGCAAGGGAUGAACAAGUCUCCCGGCGAGUUGUUUGCGAUGCUGAAAGUCGCAGAGUCUGAACUCCGUAAAGAGCAUCAAGUGUUGAUGGUGAGCAAGACCACUAGUUUCAAGAGAAACGGCAAAGGCAAGAAGGGCAAUUCCAAGAAGAGCGGCAAGCCUGUUGCCAAUCCACCGAAGAAGCCCAAGGCCGGACCUAAGCCUGAAACAGAGUGCUUCUAUUGCAAGGGUAUGGGUCACUGGAAGCGCAAUUGCCCCAAGUAUCUGGCAGAUAAGAAGGCGGGCAAAGAAAAAUCAGGUAUAUUUGAUAUACAUGUUAUUGAUGUGUACUUAACCGGCUCUCGUAGUAGUGCCUGGGUAUUCGAUACCGGUUCUGUUGCUCACAUUUGCAACUCGAAGCAGGAACUGCGGAAUAGACGAAGGCUGACGAAAGACGAAGUGACGAUGCGCGUAGGAAACGGUUCCAAAGUUGAUGCAAUCGCCGUCGGCACAGUGUCACUUCAACUACCAUCGGGAUUAGUGAUGAACUUAAAUCAUUGUUAUUUAGUGCCUGCGUUGAGCAUGAACAUUAUAUCUGGAUCUUGUUUAAUGCGAGACGGUUACUCUUUUAAGUCUGAGAAUAAUGGUUGUUCUAUUUCUAUGAGUAACAUCUUUUAUGGUCAUGCACCGAAUGUGAGAGGAUUGUUCAUAUUGAAUCUUGAUAGAGAUACGCAUAUACAUAACAUUGAGACCAAAAGAGUUAGAGUAAACAAUGAUAGCGCCAUAUUUUUGUGGCACUGCCGCUUGGGUCAUAUUGGUGUAAAGCGCAUGAAGAAACUCCAUGCUGAUGGACUUUUGGAGUCACUUGACUUUGAUUCACUUGACACGUGCGAACCAUGCCUCAUGGGCAAGAUGACUAAGACUCCGUUCUCCGGAACAAUGGAGCGUGCAAGUGACUUGUUGGAAAUCAUACAUACCGAUGUGUGUGGUCCAAUGAGCGUGGAGGCUCGCGGCGGAUAUCGUUACUUUCUCACCUUCACUGACGAUUUAAGUAGAUAUGGUUAUGUCUACUUGAUGAAGCACAAGUCUGAAACAUUUGAAAAGUUCAAACAAUUUCAGAGUGAAGUGGAAAAUCAUCGUAACAAGAAGAUCAAGUUCCUACGGUCUGAUCGUGGGGGUGAAUAUCUGAGUUUCGAGUUUGGUACUCACUUAAAACAAUGUGGAAUUGUUUCGCAGUUAACACCGCCUGGAACACCACAGCGUAAUGGUGUGUCCGAACGUCGUAAUCGUACUUUGUUAGAAAUGGUGCGAUCUAUGAUGUCUCUUACUGAUUUGCCGUUGUCGUUUUGGGGUUAUGCAUUAGAAACAACUGCAUUCACUUUAAAUAGGGCACCAUCGAAAUCCGUUGAGACGACACCAUACGAACUGUGGUAUGGCAAAAGGCCAAAGUUGUCGUUCCUUAAAGUUUGGGGAUGUGAUGCUUAUGUCAAAAAGCUUCAGCCUGAAAAGCUGGAACCCAAAUCGGAAAAGUGCGUCUUCAUAGGUUACCCAAAAGAGACAGUUGGGUACACCUUCUAUCUCAAAUCCGAGGGCAAAGUGUUUAUUGCUAAGAACGGAACUUUUCUCGAGAAGGAGUUUCUCUCAAGAGAAUUGAGUGGGAGGAAGAUAGAACUUGACGAGGUUGUCGAACUUCUCAUCCCUCUGGAUGGUGGCGCGGGGCAAGGGGAAACCUCUGUCAUUGCGACGCCGGUUGAGGAGGAAGUUAAUGAUGAUGAUCAUGAAACUCCAGUUCAAGUUUCUGUUGAACCACGCAGGUCGACGAGAUCACGCGCUGCUCCAGAGUGGUACGGUAAUCCCGUCUUAUCAAUCAUGUUGUUGGACAACAAUGAACCUGCAAAUUAUGAAGAAGCAAUGGUGGGCCCAGAUUCCAACAAAUGGCUAGAAGCCAUGAAAUCCGAGAUAGGAUCCAUGUAUGAGAACAAAGUGUGGACUUUGGAGAUACUGCCUGAAGGCCGCAAGGCUAUUCAGAACAAAUGGAUCUUUAAGAAGAAGACGGACGCUGACGGUAAUGUGACCGUUUAUAAAGCUCGACUUGUGGCAAAGGGUUUUUCACAAGUUCCAGGAAUUGACUACGAUGAGACUUUCUCUCCCGUAGCGAUGCUUAAGUCCGUCAGAAUCAUGUUAGCAAUAGCUGCAUUUUUCGAUUAUGAAAUCUGGCAGAUGGAUGUCAAAACGGCGUUCCUUAACGAUUUCCUUAAGGAAGAAUUGUAUAUGAUGCAACCCGAAGGUUUUGUCGAUCCUAAAAAUGCUGACAGGGUGUGCAAGCUCCAGCGAUCCAUUUAUGGACUGGUGCAAGCAUCUCGGAGUUGGAACAAACGCUUUGAUGAGGUGAUCAAAGCAUUUGGGUUUAUACAAGUGGUUGGAGAAUCUUGUAUUUACAAGAAAGUGAGUGGGAGCUCUGUGGCGUUUCUAAUAUUAUAUGUGGAUGACAUAUUACUGAUUGGGAACAACGUAGAGCUUUUGGAGAGCAUAAAAGUUUACUUGAAUAAAAGUUUCUCUAUGAAGGACCUAGGAGAAGCUGCUUACAUUCUAGGCAUUAAGAUCUAUAGGGAUAGAUCAAAACGCCUGAUAGGACUUUCACAAAGCACAUACCUUGAUAAAGUUUUGAAGAGGUUCAAAAUGGAACAGUCCAAGAAAGGAUUCUUACCAGUGUUACAAGGUACGAGAUUGAGUAAGACUCAGUGCCCAGCAACUGAUGAAGAUAGAGAGCAUAUGCGCUCCGUCCCCUAUGCUUCAGCCAUAGGCUCUAUCAUGUAUGCAAUGCUGUGCACUAGACCGGAUGUUAGCCUGGCCAUAAGUAUGGCAGGUAGGUUCCAGAGUAAUCCAGGAGUGGAUCACUGGACGGCGGUCAAGAAUAUCCUGAAGUACCUGAAAAGGACUAAGGAGAUGUUUCUCGUGUAUGGAGGUGAUGAAGAGCUCGCCGUAAAAGGUUACGUCGAUGCAAGCUUUGACACAGAUCCGGACGACUCUAAGUCGCAAACCGGAUACGUAUUUAUUCUUAAUGGGGGUGCAGUAAGCUGGUGCAGUUCCAAGCAAAGCGUCGUAGCAGAUUCUACAUGUGAAGCGGAGUACAUGGCUGCCUCGGAGGCGGCUAAGGAGGGUGUCUGGAUGAAGCAGUUCAUGACGGAUCUUGGAGUGGUGCCAAGUGCACUGGAUCCAAUAACCUUGUUCUGUGACAACACUGGUGCCAUUGCCUUAGCAAAGGAACCAAGGUUUCACAAGAAGACCAGACACAUCAAACGACGCUUCAACCUCAUCCGCGACUACGUCGAGGAGGAGGACGUAAAUAUAUGCAAAGUGCACACGGAUCUGAAUGUAGCAGACCCGCUGACUAAACCUCUUCCACGGCCAAAACAUGAUCGACACCAGAACUGUAUGGGUGUUAGAUUUAUUACAAUGUAAUUCACAUGGUGAUGUGAGGGCUAGAUUAUUGACUCUAGUGCAAGUGGGAGACUGUUGGAAUUAUGCCCUAGAGGCAAUAAUAAAUGUAUAGUUAUUAUUAUAAUUCCUGUAUCAAGAUAAUAGUUUAUUAUCCAUGCUAUAAUUGUAUUGAAUGAAGACUCAUUUACAUGUGUGGAUACAUAGACAAAACACCGUCCCUAGCAUGCCUCUAGUUGGCUAGCCAGUUGAUCGAUGAUAAUCAGUGUCUUCUGAUUAUGAACAAGGUGUUGUUGCUUGAUAAACUGGAUCACGUCAUUAGGAGAAUCACGUGAUGGACUAGACCCAAACUAAUAGACGUAGCAUGUUGAUCGUGUCAUUUUGUUGCUACUGUUUUCUGCGUGUCAAGUAUUUAUUCCUAUGACCAUGAGAUCAUAUAACUCACUGACACCGGAGGAAUGCUUUGUGUGUAUCAAACGUCACAACGUAACUGGGUGACUAUAAAGAUGCUCUACAGGUAUCUCCGAAGGUGUUAGUUGAGUUAGUAUGGAUCAAGACUGGGAUUUGUCACUCCGUGUGACGGAGAGGUAUCUCGGGGCCCACUCGGUAAUACAACAUCACACACAAGCCUUGCAAGCAAUGUAACUUAGUGUAAGUUACGGGAUCUUGUAUUACGGAACGAGUAAAGAGACUUGCCGGUAAACGAGAUUGAAAUAGGUAUGCGGAUACUGACGAUCGAAUCUCGGGCAAGUAACAUACCGAAGGACAAAGGGAAUGACAUACGGGAUUAUACGAAUCCUUGGCACUGAGGUUCAAACGAUAAGAUCUUUGUAGAAUAUGUAGGAUCCAAUAUGGGCAUCCAGGUCCCGCUAUUGGAUAUUGACCGAGGAGUCUCUCGGGUCAUGUCUGCAUAGUUCUCGAACCCGCAGGGUCUGCACACUUAAGGUUCGACGUUGUUUUAUGCGUAUUUGAGUUAUAUGGUUGGUUACCGAAUGUUGUUCGGAGUCCCGGAUGAGGUCACGGACGUCACGAGGGUUUCCGGAAUGGUCCGGAAACGAAGAUUGAUAUAUAGGAUGACCUCAUUUGAUUACCGGAAGGUUUUCGGAGUUACCGGGAAUGUACCGGGAAUGACGACUGGGUUCCGGGAGUUCACCGGAGGGGGGCAACCCACUCCGGGGAAGCCCAUAGGAUUUGGGGGGGUCACACCAGCCCUUAGUGGGCUGGUGGGACAGCCCACCAAUCCCCUAUGCGCCAAGAGAGAAAAAAUCAAAGGAAAGAAAAAAAAGGAGAAGUGGGAAAGGGGAAGGACUCCCUCCCACCAAACCAAGUAGGACUCGGUUUGGGGGGGGAGAGUCCUCCCCCCUGGCUCGGCCGACACCUUGGGGAUCCCUUGGACCCCAAGGCAAGGCCCCCCUCCCUCCUCCUAUAUAUAUGGGGCUUUUAGGGCAGAUUUGAGACGACUUUCUCACGGCUGCCCGACCACAUACCUCCAUAGUUUUUCCUCUAGAUCGCGUUUCUGCGGAGCUCGGGCGGAGCCCUGCUGAGACGAGAUCAUCACCAACCUCCGGAGCGCCGUCACGCUGCCGGAGAACUCUUCUACCUCUCCGUCUCUCUUGCUGGAUCAAGAAGGCCGAGAUCAUCGUCGAGCUGUACGUGUGCUGAACGCGGAGGUGCCGUCCGUUCGGUACUAGAUCGUGGGACUGAUCGCGGGAUUGUUCGCGGGGCGGAUCGAGGGACGUGAGGACGUUCCACUACAUCAACCGCGUUCUCUAACGCUUCUGUUGUACGAUCUACAAGGGUACAUAGAUCAUUCAUCCCCUCUCGUAGAUGGACAUCACCAUGAUAGGUCUUCGUGCGCGUAGGAAAAUUUUUGUUUCCCAUGCGACGUUCCCCAACAACGGCAUCGAUUUGGAUCGCGAAGACGUUCCACUACAUCAACCGCGUUUCUUAACGCUUCCCGCUUAGGGAUCUACAAGGGUAUGUGGAUCCGAUCUCCCUCUCGUAGAUGAUCAUCACCAUGAUAGGUCUUCGGUGAGUAGGAUUUUUUUUGUUUCCCAUGCAACGUUCCCCAACAGUGGCAUCAUGAGCUAGGUUCAUGCAUAGAUGAUAUCUCGAGUAGAACACAAAAGAGUUUGUGGGCGUUGAUGUUCAAUUUGCUGCCCUCCCGAGUCUUUUCUUGAUUCGGCGACAUUGUUGGAUUGAAGCGGCCCAUGACUGGCGGGUGUCUAUUUCUUCAACUUUAGUUGAAUUGGAUUUGACCAAGGCGGUCCUUGGAGAAGGUUAAAUAGCAAUUUUCAUAUCACCGUUAUGGCAUUGCGUAAGUAAGAUGCAAUCAUACUAGAUACCCAUAACAACCACGUAAAAUAUGCAACAACAAAUUAGAGGACGUCUAACUUGUUUUUGCAGGGUAUGCUUGUGAUGUGAUAUGGUCAAUGACAUGAUAUGAUAUAUUAGAUGUAUGAGAUGAUCAUGUUGUAAUAGUUCAAUAUAUCGACUUGCACGUCGAUGCUACGGCAACCGACAGGAGCCAUAUGGUUGUCUUUAAAUUUAUUUUACGCUUGCACAUGCUCUUGCUAUAUCGCUAGGCAACAACUUUAGUAGUAACAUCAUAGAUAGCGCGACAACCUUGAUGGAAGCACGAUAAUGGAGAUCAUGGUGCGGCGCCAAUGACGAUAGAGAUCAUGCCGGUGCUUUGGUGAUAGAGAUGAAGAAGCACAAGUUCAUGGCCAUAUCAUGUGACUUAUGAUUUGCAUGUGAUGUUAAUCCUUUUAUGCACCUUAUUUUUCUUAGGACGAUGGUAGCAUUAUAAGGUGAUCCCUCACUAAAAUUUCAAGAUAAAAUUGUGUUCUCCCCGACUGUGCACCAUUGCGACAGUUCGUCAUUUUGGGACACCACGUGAUGAUCGGGUAUGAUAGACUCAACGUUCACAUACAACAUGUGCAAAACAGCUGCACACACGGAACACUCGGGUAAACUUGACGACCCUAGCAUGUACAGACAUGGCCUCGGAACACAAGAGAUUGAAAGGUCGAGCAUGAAUCAUAUAGUUCAUAUGAUAAACAUGGAGAUGUUCACCAUUGAAACUAAUCUCAACUCACGUGAUGAUCGGACUUGAGUUAGUGAAUUUGGAUCAUGCACUACUCGAAUGACUAGAGGGAUGUCUAUUUGAGUGGGAAUUCUUAAGUAAUAUGAUUAAUUGAACUCAUUAUCAUGAACAUAGUCAAAAGGUCUUUGCAAAUUAUGUUGUAGCUUGCGUUGUAGCUCUACUGUUUUAAAUAUGUUCCUAGAGAAAUUUUAGUUGAAAAUUGAUAGUAGCAAUUAUACGGACUGGGUCCGUAAACUGAGGAUUGUCCUCAUUGCUGCACAGAAGGCUUAUGUCCUUAAUGCACCGCUCGGUCUGCUAAAGCUUGAGCAUCGUCUGUGGAUGUUGUGAACAUCUUACAUACAUGUUUUUGAUGACUACGUGAUGGUUCAGUGCGUAAUGCUUAACGACUUAGAAUUGAGGCGCCGAAGACGUUUUGAAUGUCACAGAACAUAUGAUAUGUUCCAAGAGAUGAAAUUGUGAUUUCAUGCUCGUGCCCUUGUUGAGAGGUAUGAGACAUCCGACAAGAUUAUUUGUCUACAAAGUAAGGGAGAAAAGCUCAAUCAUUGAGCAUGUGCUCAGAUUGUCUGAGUGCUACAAUCGCUUGAAUCGAGUGGGAAUUAAUCUUCGAGAUAAGAUAGUGAUGGUUCUCCAAAGUCACUGCCACCAAGCUACUAGAGCUUCCUGGUGAACUAUAACACAUGAGAGAUAGAUAUGAUGAUCCUUGAGCUAUUCACUAUUUUGACACUCCGAAAGUAGAAAUCAAAAAGGAGCACCAAUUGUUGAUGGUUAGUAAAACCACUAGUUUCAAGAAGGGCAAGGGCAAGAAGGGAUACUUCAUGAAACUACAUCGCACGCUCCCUUUACCAUCGAGAUUAGUGUUAAACCUAUAUAAUUGUUAUUUGGUGUUUGCGUUGAGCAUAGACAUGAUUAGAUUGUGUUUAUCGCAACACGGUUAUUCAUUUAAAGAGAAUAAUGGUUACUCUAUUUAUUUGAAUAAUACCUCCAAUGGUCUUGCACCUAAAAUGAAUGGUUUAUUGAAUCUCGAUCGUAGUGAUACACAUGUUCAUAAUAUUGUUGCCGAAAUAUACAAAGUAGUAAUGAUAGUACCACUUACUUGUGGCACUGCCGCUUGAGUCAUAUUGAUGUAAAACGCAUGAAGAAGCUCCAUACCGAUGGAUCUUUGGACUCACUCGUUUUUGAAUCGUUUGAGACAUGAGAACCAUGCCUAUUGGUGUAAAGGCAUGAAGAAACUCCGUGUAGAUGGAUUGCUUGGACUCACUAGGUUUUGAAUCACUUGAGACAUGCAAAUCAUGCCACUCGGGCAAGAUGACUGAAGGCCUCGUUUUCAGUGAGAUGGAACAAGAAAGUAACUUAUUGGGAGUAAUACAUUUUGAUGCAUGUAGUCCAAUGAGUACUGAGGCACGCAGUGGAUAUCGUUAUGUUAUAACUUCACAGAUGAUUUGAGUAGAUACUAGUGUAUUUGCUUGAUAAAAUGCAUGUCUGAAUUAUUGAAAGGUUCAAGUAAUUUUAGAGUGAAGUUGAAGAUCAUCGUGACAAGAGGAUAGAAUGUCUAUGAUAUGAUAAUAGAGAUGAAUAUCUGAGUUGCGAGUUUGGUACACAAUUAAGACAAUGUGAAAAUUGUUUCACAACUCAUGCUGCCUGGAACACCAUAGUGUGAUGGUGUGUCCGAACGUCAUAGCUACGCCCUAUUGGAUAUGGUGCAUACUAUGAUGUCUCUUAUCGAAUUAUCACUAUUGUUUUUGAGUUAGGCAUUAGAGACAACCGCAUUCACUUUAAAUAGGGCACUAUGUAAUUCCGUUGAGACGACACCAUAUGAACUAUGGUUUGGAGAAACCUAAGUUCUCGUUUCUUAAAAUUUUGGGGUUGCGACGCUUAUGUGAAAAAGUUUCAGCCUGAUAAGCUCGAAUCCAAAGCGGAUAAAUGCAUCUUCAUAGGAUACCCAAAAUAGUUGGGUUCAUCUCCUAUCUCAGAUCCGGAAGCAAAGUGUUUGUUUCUAGAAACGGGUCCUUUCUCGAGAAAUUGUUUCUCUCGAAAGAAUUGAGUGGGAGGAUGGUGGAAACUUGAUGAGUUUAUUGAACCGUCACUUCAACCAGUGUGUAGCAGGGCGCAAGAAGUUGUUCCUGUGGCGCCUACGCCAAUUGAAGUGGAAGAUGAUGAUAGUGAUCAUGAAACUUCGCAUCAAGUUACUACAAACUUCAUAGGUCGACAAGGUCACGUACUGCUCGAGAGUGGUACGGUAACUCUGUCUUGGAGGUCAUGCUUUUGGACAACAAUGAACCUACGAACUAUGGAGAAGCGAUGGUGGGCCCAGAUUCAGACAAAUGGCUGGAGGCCAUGAAAUCCGAGAGAUGAUCCAUAUAUGAAAACAAAGUGUAGACUUUGGAAGAACUACUUGAUGGUUGUAAGACUGUUAAGUACAAAUGGAUAUUUAAAGGAAGACAGACGAUGAUGGUGAAAAGUCACCAUUAAGAAAGCUCGACUUGUCGCAAAGAUGUUUCUGACAAGUUCAAAGACUUGACUAUGAUGAGACUUUCUCACUCGUAGCGAUGCUAAAAGUCUGUUGGAAUUAUGUUAGCAGUUGCUGCAUUUAUUUAUGAAAUCUUGCGGAUAGGAUGUCCAAACAUUGUUUCCUCAAUGGUUUCCUUAAGGAAAGGUUGUAUGUGAUACAACCAGAAGGUUUUGUCGAUCCUAAGGAUGCUAACAAGUAUGCAAGCUCCAGCGAUCCUUCUAUGGACUGAAGCAAGCAUCUCGGAGUUGGAAUAUACACUUUGAUGAGAUGGUCAAAGAUUUUGGGUUUAUACAAGGUUUGUGAGAAACUUGUAUUUCCAAAGAAGUGAGUGGGAGAACUAUAGAAUAUCUGGUUAGAAUAUGUGAUUGACAUAUUAUUGAUCGGAAAUAAUGUAGAAUUUCUGGAAAGCAUAAAGGGUUGUUUGAAAGGAGUUUUUUACGGAAAACCUGGAUAGAGCUACUUGAAACAUUGAACAUCAAGAUCUAUAGAGAUAGAUCAAAACGCUUAAUAGAACUUUCAAUGAAAUGCAUGCCUUGACAAGUUUUUGAGGAAUUUCAAAAUAGAUCAGCAAAGAAGGAGUUCUUAGCUGUGUUGUAAGGUGUGAAUUUGAGUAAGAGUCAAAGCCCGACCACGGCAGAAGAAAGAGAAAGGAUGAAGGUCGUCCCCUAUGCAUUAACCGUAGGCUCUACAGUAUGCGAUGCUGUGUACCGCACCUGAUGCGUGCCUUGCCAUGAAUCUGUCAAGGGGUACGAAAGUGAUCCAGGCGUGGAUUACUGGACAGCGGUCAAAGGUUAUCCUUAGUUACUAGUGGACUAAGGAAUUUUUCUUGAUUAUGGAGGUGAUAAAAGAGUUCGUCGUAAAGGGUUACAUCGAUGCAAGCUUUGACACUAAUCCGAAUAACUCUGAGUAGUAAACCAGAUUCAUAUAGUAGAGCAGACAUUUGGAAUAGUUCCAAAUGGCGCGUGGUAGGAGCAUCUAUAGGAUUACAUAGAUAUUUGUAAAGCACACACGGAUCUGAAAGAUUCAGACCUGUUGACUAAAAAUCUCUCUCACAAGCAAGAUAUGAUCGAACCCCAAAAAUAUGUGGGUGUUAGAUUCAUUACAAUCACAUAGUGAUGUGAACUAGAUUAUUGACUCUAGUGCAAGUGAGAGACUGUUGGAAAUAUGCCCUAGAGGCAAUAAUAAAUUGUUUAGUAUUAUAUUUCCUUGUUCAUGAUAAUCAUUUAUUAUCCAUGCUAGAAUUGUAUUGAUUGGAAACUCAAAUACAUGUGUGGAUACAUAGACAACACACUGUCCCUAGUGAGCCUCUAGUUGACUAGCUCGUUGAUCAAAGAUGGUCAAGGUUUCCUGCCUAUAGACAAGUGUUGUCACUUGAUAACGGGAUCACAUCAUUAGGAGAAUGAUAUGAUGGACAAGACCCAAACUAUAAACGUAGCAUAUGAUCAUGUUAUUUUGUUGCUAUUGUUUUCUCCAUGUGAAGUAUACGUUCCUAUGACCAUGAGAUCAUGUAACUCGUUGACACUGGAGGAAUGACUUGGGUGUAUCAAACGUCGCAACAUUACUGGGUGACUAUAAAUGUGCUCUACAGGUAUCUCCGAAGGUGUUCAUUGAGUUAGCAUGGAUCAAGACUGGGAUUUGUCACUCCGUGUGACAGAGAGGUAUCUCGGGGCCCACUCGGUAAUACAACAUCACAAACAAGCCUUGCAAGCAAUGUGACUAAAGAGUUAGCCACAAGAUCUUGUAUUACGAAACGAGUAAAAAAGACUUGCCGGUAACGAGAUUGAAAUAGGUAUGUCGAUACUGACGAUCGAAUCUCGGGCAAGUAACAUACCGAAGGACAAAGGAAAUGGUAUACGGGAUUGUGUGAAUCCUUGACAUAGAGGUUCAACCGGUAAGAUCUUCGUAGAAUAUGUAGAAUCCAAUAUGAACAUCCAGGUCCCGCUAUUGGAUAUUGACCAGAGAGUGUCUCGGUCAUGGCUGCAUGGUUCUCGAACCCGCAGGGUCUGCACACUUGAGGUUCGAUGAUGUUUUGGUAUAGUUGAGUUAUAGGUGUUGGUGAACGAAGGUUGUUCGGAGUCCCAGAUGAGAUCCUAGACGUCACGAGGAGCUCCGGAAUGGUCCAUAGGUAAAGAUUGAUAUAUAGGAAGUCCACUUUUGGUCACCAGAAAGGUUUCGGGCUCAUUGGUAGUGUACUGAGAGUGCCGAGAGGGUGCCUGGGGACCACCGGGAGGGGUGUGACGACCCAAGAGCCUUGUGGGCUAUGAGAAGAGGUGGACCAGCCCCUGGUGGUUGAUAACCCACAAGUAUAGGAGAUCAAUUGUAGCCUUUCUCGAUAAGUAAGAGUGUCAAACCCAACGAGGAGCUAAAGGUAGGACAAAUAUUCCCUCAAGUUCUAUCGACCACCGAUACAACUCUACGCACACUUUACGUUCACUUUACCUAGAACAAGUAAGAAACUAGAAGUACUUUGUAGACGAGAAAGGAUAGGUUUGCAAGAAAAUAAAGAACACGUAAAUAAAAACUAGGGGCUGGUUAGAUAAAGAAACAAUUACGUUAGUUUAACGAGUGUGGAAAAGUGGUGGUAGGAGUUGCGGAAUUGUCCCUAAGCAAUUGACUAUGUUACUAGACCGAUAACAAGUUUUAUGUGGGAGAGGCCACUGCUAGCAUGUCAUCCCUUACUUGGAAUUCUAUGCACUUAUGAUUGGAACUAUUAGCAAGCAUCCGCAACUACUAACGUUCAUUAAGGUAAAACCCAACCAUAGCAAUAAGAUAUAUUGGUCCCCCUUCAAUCCCGUAUGCAUCAAUUUCUAUGCUAGGCUGAAGCUUCUGCCACCCCUGCCCUCCAAUACAUAGUCCUAUCAACAUACUACUAACCCUAUGGUGUGAUCCACGCGCGCUCUCAUAUGAUGGGCACCAAAGGACAGCAACAUAAUGAUACGUCUCCAACGUAUCUAUAAUUUUUUAUGGUUUCAUGCUAUUAUCUUGUCAAACUUUGGAUGUUUUGUAUGCCUUUUAUAUUUGUUUUGGGACAAACUUAUUAACUCAGUGCCAAGUGCCAGUUCCUGUUUUUUCCGUGUUUUUGACCCUUUUCAGAGGAGGAUUUUAAACGGAGUCCAAACGGAAUGAAACUUCCAAAAAGAUUUUUUCCGAAACAGAAGACGAUCAGGGACUUGAGAACCAAGUGAGGGGCCCACCAGGGACCCCACAAGCCCCCUAGCCGCAGCCAGGGGGGCGCACCUCCCAGGCUUGUGGGCCCCCUGGGCCUCCUCUGCCCUAGGUCUUUCGCCUAUAUAUUCCCAUAAAUUCCAGAAAAAAUCAGGGGAGCCACGAAAACACUUUUUCGCCGCCGCAAGCUUCUGUCUCCGCAAGAUCCCAUCUGGGGCACGUUCUGGUGCCCUGCUGGAGGGGGAUUCGGAUACGGAGGGCUUCUUCAUCAACACCAUGACCUCUCCGAUGAUGCGUGAGUAGUUCACCAUAGACCUAUGGGUCCAUAGCUAGUAGCUAGAUGACUUCUUCUCUCUCUUGGAUCUUCAAUACAAAGUUCUCCAUGAUCUUCAUGGAGAUCUAUCCGAUGUAAUCUUCUUUCGCGGUGUGUUUGUCGAGAUCGGAUGAAUUGUGGAUUUAUGAUCACAUUAUUGUUGUAAAUAUGCCCUAGAGGCAAUAAUAAAUUAGUUAUUAUUAUAUUUCUUAGUUCAUGAUAAUCGUUUAUUAUCCAUGCUAUAAUUGUAUUGAUUGGAAACACAAUACUUGUGUGGAUACAUAGACAAAACACUGUCCCUAGUAAGCCUCUAGUUGACUAGCUCGUUGAUCAAAGAUUUUCAAGGUUUCCUGGCCAUAGGCAAGUGUUGUCACUUGAUAACAGGAUCACAUCAUUAGGAGAAUCAUGUGAUGGACUAGACCCAAACUAAUAGACGUAGCAUGUUGAUCGUGUCAUUUUGUUGCUACUGUUUUCUGCGUGUCAAGUAUUUGUUCCUAUGACCAUGAGAUCAUAUAACUCACGGACACCGGAGGAAUGCUUUGUGUGUAUCAAACGUCACAACGUAACUGGGUGACUAUAAAGAUGCUCUACAGGUAUCUCCGAAGGUGUUCGUUGAGUUAGUAUGGAUCGAGACUGGGAUUUGUCACUCCGUGUGACGGAGAGGUAUCUCGGGGCCCACUCGGUAAUACAACAUCACACACAAGCCUUGCAAGCAAUGUGACUUAGUGUAAGUUACGGGAUCUUGUAUUACGGAACGAGUAAAGAGACUUGCCGGUAAACGAGAUUGAAAUAGGUAUGCGGAUACUGACGAUCGAAUCUCGGGCAAGUAACAUACCGAAGGACAAAGGGAAUGACAUACGGGAUUAUAUGAAUCCUUGGCACUGAGGUUCAAAUGAUAAGAUCUUCGUAGAAUAUGUAGGAUCCAAUAUGGGAAUCCAGGUCCCGGUAUUGGAUAUUGACCGAGGAGUCUCUCGGGUCAUGUCUACAUAGUUCUCGAACCCGCAGGGUCUGCACACUUAAGGUUCGACGUUGUUUUAUGCGUAUUUGAGUUAUAUGGUUGGUUACCGAAUGUUGUUCGGAGUCCCGGAUGAGAUCACGGACGUCACGAGGGUUUUCGGAAUGGUCCGGAAACAAAGAUUGAUAUAUAGGAUGACCUCAUUUGAUUACCGGAAGGUUUUCGGAGUUACCGGGAAUGUACCGGGAAUGACGAAUGGGUUCCGGGAGUUCACCGGGGGGGGGGCACCCACCCCGGGGAAGCCCAUAGGCCUUGAGGGUGGCACACCAGCCCUUAGUGGGCUGGUGGGGCAGCCCAAAAGGGCUCUAUGCGCCAAGGAGAAAAAAUCAAGAGAGAAAAAAAAAA